RNAcentral lists this long non-coding RNA (70150 nucleotides) under Ananas comosus (pineapple). RNAcentral describes it as "long non-coding RNA (ACOM_LNC025169)". The record is from RNAcentral. Lineage: Eukaryota; Viridiplantae; Streptophyta; Magnoliopsida; Poales; Bromeliaceae.
GGGAGUGUUGAUGAUAACAUUCAAAUUUGAUAAAUUGUAUGGCAGAGUAAUGUCACAAUUUUAUACAUAUUUUACAACAUUUUAAACGAAUAAUCACUACAACAAAAACAGUCUAUAGCGACACUUUUAAAUGUCGGUACAUGUCAAAAAAAAUGUUGCUGGCUAAAUUACCGACAUUUUUAAAAAGUGUUGCUAUAUGUGGGGUCGCUAGGUAUAUAGUGACAGCUUAAGAGUGUCGCUAUAAUCUAAAAAAGUGCUGCUAAUUUACCAAUAUUUAUUUAAGCAUUUAGCAACCGUCGAAACUCUACCUCGUUGGCUGCAGUGGCAGAGGAGGACGAGAGGGAAGGGCUCUUCGUCUAGAAUUUCAAUGAAUUGAGUGAGGAGAGAAGGAUAGACGGUAAUCGAUUUUUCUUUUUUUUUUCUUUUUUGUUUGUAAUCGGGCCGAAUGAGUUGGGUGGGGUGGGUUGAGUAGAGUAAUCUUUUCUUUUUGGUUGGAUUGAACUUUAUAUUUAGGCAUUAGUAGAUGUUUUUUUAAAUCUGGACAUAAAUGGGACACUUACACAAAAGUGUCCAAAAUAUGUGUUCCUAUAAUCAAAUUCUGUUGUAGUGAAUUGAUGCAAUUCAUGAAAAGAAUGGUGUAAAUCAACCGUAGUUAAAAUGAUAAUUACAAUAACAAAAAAGGACCGAUGAAAUAUAAUUCGUUAAUAUCAGUAGACGCAUCGGAUUGUAUGAUAUUUGAUCUAGAACCCAUGGUAGUUUAUUUGCGUGUGUGUAUUUAUUAGGUCGAUCGAGAGUUCAACUUUGAAUCAAAACAUUUUCAAAAAAAAAUCUACAAAAUCUAUCGUUUUUCUAGUGUCUUGUCGCGUUAACUUUAAUUUAGAACUGCUCCUCCACACAUACUGCAAAAUAAAAGUCAGCUAAAAACUUAAUUAAAGAACAUUUGGUCAAAUAACAUUUGAACAUGCAAUGUUAGCGGGGGUCUAUCGGCACCCUUAAUGUCGUUGUCUUUUGGAGCUAAAAAAGAGCCGUUGAAGACCACGCCACCAUGUCUAAGUUUCAAAGUAAAAUUAAAGUGCGGAAUGAGAGUGGUGGCACGCCUAAAUUUUGUCCAUCCACAAAGGUGCUCUUAUUGGCCCGCUUUGCGUUGUCGAAUCCAUGAGUGCCCUUCGCCACCUUUUACGUUAUCUUACGGCUUUAAUUUGGACAACAAAUAUCGUGUGCUAUACCUAGUUAUUCAAUCCUAAGCAAUAGCUUUUGCCCUCUCGUAAAAGCAUUUUGUCCACUGAAAAAAGCUUUAAAACUGUUCCAACAUGUACAUAUUAAUGUGAAAAUAUUUUAUUGCGCUUUUCGCUCUAUUGCAAUCACUAUUCAACACAUAAACUGUAUCGCAAUUCUUUGUUAAUUAAUUCCACCAACCGCCAACUAUCUAAUUAAUACAUUUUGCGUCUAAGUAAAUGGUUGCAAACGUGCUUAAAUGGAGAAAGAAGAGUCCAAUGCGUACGCAUAUGUAGCUUUCGCUAUGCGACAAAUGCUGGAUUAUUACACCCUGCAACUCUACGAGCACCCAUAUAUAGAUGCUGUUGCAGGGUGAGUUGAAUUAACCUUGUCGCGGCACGCUUACGUGCUUAAAUUUGCAUGUCGGUUUUGCGAUAAGAUAGAUUUGGAUCCCCAUUUAUUGGUACUUUUAAGAGCGCCACUCUUGUGUCUUAGUGCCGAGUACCAUUGGUGGCAAAAUAAAUAUUGACCUCUGAAUUCAAACAUGCAUCGUCAAGGAGACAUCAAUGAUCCAUUAACUAAACUUAUGUAGAAAAAGAUGUCUCCAUAUUUAUCAUAUUUCCAGCGACCAAGAGUCAAUUUGCUAGUGUUCAUAAUGAAUACGAAAAACUGAGAAAUUGGAAGUGUUAGUCUCCCCUUUUUUCUUCUGACAAAUCUAUUGGAGCUCAUCCAAAAUAUACAUCGAAGUAAUCCUUUGCUUUCUUACUUCAAAAUCCUUUUAGGACAAUUCUUUACAAAUAUAAACAAAUAUAAAUUUCUCACAACCAUUUCCUUUUGUCGUUGUAUUCGAAUCUUGACUAAUAAUCCUGGUGCAUGCAUGCGCAAGUGCGUAGAUUAGAUGACGGAAAGGUUUAUGUAAUCAUGUAAACAUGGUCUGUAACGUGUAAAAUCAGUCCUAGUGACAUAUAUGGGAUAGAAAGAUUCUUACAAAACGUUAUUUAACUACGUUUAAGCAUUCCUUCGAGAGGCGGCACAAGCCGCAGAGACUCAACAUUUUGUAAAUAUAUACUAGAACCUGCACCUUUAUGGACAAUUAAUUGAUCGAACUAUAUUAAACUAUUGAUAUACUAGGCUCUAUUAUUAAAGAAUAUUUUAAAUCACAAGCAUUCUUAUAUAUCAUGCUUCCUAGCUAGAUUAAAGAAAAAGUUAUGAGAUAGAGUAUUUUAUUUUUUUUUUUUUGAAAAGAAGGCAUCAGGGUCCAUAAUCUAUAGGGUGUGUUUGGUUCGCAUUAUGAAAGAUUACUAGGAAUGAAAAGAUGUCCGAGAAUCUUAUUCCUAUUCAUCCUAUUACUAAGAAUGUGGAAUUCAUGUGUUUGGUUCACACGGUCAUAUUAUUUAGCCAUGUUAUUUAAGAUUACAAAAAAUAUACAAUUAAUUUAUUUAUUUUUUAAAUUAAUUUUAGAUAAUCUAUCAAAAAUUUCAACAUUUUUUUAGAAAAAAAGAAGAGAGAGCAUAGGUUAGAAAGAGAGAGCAUAAUUAAAAAAAAUAGUAAGAAAAAUAGAGUCGAAAUUAGAGGGAGUGAGAGAGUUGAGAUUUUAGAAAAAGAGGGAGAGAGAAAGCUUAGUUUAGAGAGAGAAAAAGAGUUAAAUUUUAGAGAGAAAGAUAAGUUUAGAGAGAGAUGUGAGGUUAUAGUGUAAAGAAAAAUAAUACCAAUUAGCCGACAGGUAGAGAGAAAGAAAGAGAUUAGACAUAUUAUGAUUACCCCAAUUCAUAUUAUAGGAUACCCACCCUUACUAAAGGGAAUGAGAUUAGUACUUUGGAUGAAUCUUAUUUCCAAGUAAAUCCAAUAUUACCAACUAGAUUACUUAGUGCGUUUAGUCAAACACCGUCAUAUUUUUUUAUUCCUAUUGGAUUACUAGAAAUCUUUAAAAGAUAGCACGAACCAAACGCACCCAUAUGUUCAUGUCAAAUAGGGUAAUUAUUAUUAUUAUAUUUUGUAGUCGUUCGACAUGCAAUAGCUAGAUGUACAGAUAUAAGAUUUCGUAGGUAAUACCUGCUGCUUCUUUGACCUAACUAAUGAAAUGGGACUAAAAAAAUUUAUGAGAUUGUAAUAAGUAGAUAAUUGGAUUGUUUAAAAUUGUGGGUUCGGCAGCUUUGCGAAAGAAGCAAUGGACACCUGACAUGUAAUUUACUUUUUUCAACUUUUUAUUUUUCUUUUCUCAGAAUCUUUCAUUAUUUAUUUUUAUAAUUAAAUCAUAAUUAUGAAGUUAUGAUUUGCAUUACUUUUUUGGGGAAUUUGGUACCAUGACAAAUGUUAAUUAUUCGAAAAAAUAUGGUGGGAAUGAUUUUCAAUUUAAGACCAAUUUCAUCCACCACUCUCACGCGAUAUUUUAAUUCAUGUCAUUUACGUAAUAAACAGCAGCCGGAAUAGUCUUACAUUUUGGGGAGCAUAAUCAUUUAGUGAACUAAGGAUGAUUUUAAGAGAUUUAGGUGAAAGCUUAAGCCCUAAAGCAAAUUUGGUAAAGUAGUACAGAAUAUAGAUAGCGCAUUAAGUAAAUUAGGAUUUAGAGUUUUUCUUUUUUGAGAAAAUUAGGAUUUAGAGUAUUGUGAGAUUAAUUUUGAUUAGGCAAAUCCUAAUUAAACUCUACAGGACCGUUUCAUGCAAGAUUGUAUGAUUCCGUAAAUGUUGAACAUUUUAUAUUGGAAAUGACAAGUUUCUUACUAACUUAUCAAGCUACUUAAGCUUGCAACGUUGCUAACUAAUGUAUUAUUAUUAAUAGACUAUUAAUAAUUCCCAUCCAACAUGACAAUAACAAUAUCUCCUACUCAAUAAUAAUUCAGUACUCCUACUAAUAAUCUACAAUAAUAAUUUCAAUAUUUUACUUACACCUUUUAUGACUAUCCAAUUUGAGUUGAAUGGUAACAAUUUAAACAAUUCGAUCAAACUAAUGAAGAAUUUUGAAAUCUUACAAACCUUAAACCAAAUGGGCCCCUAGAUGUAAAAUAUAAUGCAUUGGCAGGGGCUCUAUUGAGCACGGCUAACUAGGAAAUGGCCGACAGAGUGCGUGCAGCUAGUGUGUGGUUGAAGAUAGGGAUGUCAAACGAGCCGGACUGGAGCACGACAGAGUGCGUGCAGCUAGUGUGUGGUUGAAGAUAGGAAUGUCGAACGAGCCGGACGGGAGCACAGCAUGGAUGCUACAGUAUCAGUACCGGUCCGACGGUGUCUGGUACAUCAAAUCAUGUUGGGCCAAUACACUUAGUCCGUGCCAACUGGGCUAGCACGGUCCCGACCUCCCGACCUCAAGUCUCAAGGCAACUUGUCUUCGACCUUGGGGGAUAGAGUUCCUUGGAAAAAGAGCUUGCCCCUUUUUCCGAAGGAGCUCUUCUAGCUCCCUAUGUCUCCCAGUGAGGUUCUUGAGAGGAGUGGGUUUUGGUCCAAUACCUUCUUCUGAUUAAUCUUUUCAAAAAAGAUUUAUAAAUUUUUUAAAAAAUUAUAAAAUUAUUAUUUUUUAACUUUUUAUAAAUUUUAACUUUGUAUCGAACAUCAAUUUAAUUAAAUAGGUAUAAUUUAUUUUUUCAUAUUUUUAAAACUUAUAUUUGUUUAGAGCUCGGCUCCGAGCAUGGCUCGAUUCAACCCGGCCCGUGCCUUCUGGGCUGGAAAGCUGUACUGGCCCGAAGGCUUCGAGGAUCAAACCCGGCACAAUCCUGCUAGGAUUUGACGAUGAGUUGGGCCGCGGCAGCCCCUAUCCCAUUUUGGUCUAGAUAAUGUGGGUCGUGUUGGUCCGACACAACCUACGUUACACCCCCUACAUUAUAUCUCAAAUGUAUCUUGUGCAUAGGUGCAUAAGAAGAAAGAAAAGUGUAAUUAUAUAUUGCUAGAAGACAAAGAUGGAUAAAAGAUUUCAAAAGAGAGCUCGAAUUAAAAGUAUUCUGUAUAAAAAAAAAAAAAUAAUUAUUUGUGUAAUUCUUUUCUUAAUUAGUAAAUUUUAUUUACCUAUAUGCUUUUGCUGUUGUAACGAACUUAUGGUAAAAAAUUUAUUCAACUAGUUUGUUGCAGCAUUUUAAUAAUUAGUAUCAGAGCAAAUACCGGAUUUAUAGCACUUGGUAUUAAAAUGGUUCAUGAAGCAACCAUGCGGACUCACAAACCUAAAUUAUGUACCACUUUAGCCGAGGCCCCAGAGACCAACUGCACCCAACAAUUCUGGGCCCUUUUAAGGCCCACAAACCACAGAAAUCACAGAGAAUAUGUCCUCAAAGAAUUUAUGCCCCAAUAACCAAAAUUUCAUAUUCGGUUUAUAUUUUCUGGCUAAUUAAAGUAAUAUAAUAAACUAAUUAAGGGAAUUUGGCCUUUUGCCUAUCCUCCCGUUAAAUGACUGUUGGUGAACCCGGUUAGGUCAGGUUGGGCUAGCUCAAGCCUAACUCGGAUCUAAGAGGGUGAAGCUUGGGCUCUAGCUUAUUAUCUGUUCGGAUUUGCUAUUUAUAAUUAUCAUAUGGUACGAUGUUUAAUUUGGCAAAUAAAAGUUUAAAAUUUUAGCUGUGGCAGAAGACAAAGGUGAGAUUUAAAAUUCAGAGAUAAAAAAUUUAAUUUCAAAUUCUUAAAUCUGCUACAGAGCAAAACAUUUGAUAAAAUUUUAAAUACAACAUUUUUUUCAAUAGCAAAAUUAGACUAGCACGGAGAGCUGUGGGCUGGCUGUGCCAAACUAUUAUGGAGUUGAAGAAACAUAUUCUAAAAUGCGCAUCGAAAUAUUACAAUUUUAUGCACAGAAAAUUUCUACAUAUUAAACAAUCUUAUUGUCAAUAAAGUACUUGAUUUAUCUCAACUGUCGAUUUAAAGCGGAAUUGACCAACUGAGAUCUAUCCCAACUUUUAUUGACGAUCAGAUCAUCCUAAGUACAGAAAUUUCUUUUAUUGUUCUACAAUAGUUAUGUACAUUUUCAAACACAAAACACCAGUUUAAUUUGUAAUUGAUAUUGACACGUGAACACGAAUGUACCCUGUCAGAUGAUCAGUCGGUGGUAUAAAUGAAAUUAAUUGAUGAUAAUUGCUGUCAAAGUUUGGAGAAGUUUGUAGAAGAACUUUAAUUUGUAGAGUGGAAGGAGCAGGAGUGAGUCUGUUCCAACUUUUGUCACACUUAAAAAAAAAAUAAUUCGAAAAAAAAAAAUGCUUAGUUCAUCUUGCCUAAUGAAUGAAGCAUGUAGCUUGCUACCUUUUUCUCAAAAAAUAAUAAUAAUAAUAAUAAUAAGCUUACAAUUCGAAAAAAUUUGUAAGAUUAUAGUCCUGUAUCCGCGGGUUUAAAUCUUUCCUUCUACCGACUGUCUAUAAAGCAAGUGGCAAAAGGCUUGGUGGUUGGCACCCAAGGUUCAAAGUUCGAAUCCUAGUUGAUUUACAUUUUUUGCUAAGUUUAUUUCUAAAUGAAAUAAACGAAGCGGGUAGUGUGCUACCUAUCUCUCAAAAAAAAAAAAAAAAUCUUUCCUUCUAGAAUUUAAAUAUGUUUUUUUUUGAAUUUUAGUAUGAACAAAGAAAAACAAGAUUAGUGAAAAAAAGAUGACUCUUGGAUGAUACAGUUGUCGGAUUAUAGUUUUAUUUGUUAAACUGUAAGACCUGCACAGCCCUUCGAAACCAACACAAACUCCAGCAUUUGGAACUUGUCUGGCUUGUGGUAUAGUGUAGUAAUUAUAAUAUUUGAUAAAAAAAAACUGUUAAAAUAUUGGUGUUAUUCCGAGAUGCACUAUAUUAAACUGUUUUAAUUACUAAUUUUUACAGCAGCAUUAUAAGAGCUAAAUUAAUACUUCUACUUACAGUUUUGCUUUAUCUACCAAUAGAAUAUCUAUCUCAAGCAGCGGGUCUUGAGUUCGAACUCUGAAUGUAAGCGGAAAUGAGCGUAUGCAUGGGUCACGAGAAUCUUUUUUUUUUUUUUUUGAAGAACAGAAGCAUUAGUGUUAAAUAUAAAAAUAUUUAAACAUCAUAUUUUACUAAACUUAAAUUUUAGAGUACACCGGUUGUUUCAUAUAUUUCAUAAUUGGAAGCAUUAUUUUUUAUCAUUAAAAAUUUAAUAAAAUAUUAUUGUUACUAAAAUUAGAAGUAAGCGUUGUGUGCCUCAAAGAGUCUAUUAUUAGAGACACGAAAAGAAUAAUAAAAAACGAAGGCUAAAGAAAAAGAGAUAUUUAUUUUAUUGAAAAUGAACAAAUAAAAUUAUGGCCGGCCGUCAAAAUUUACCUCUGUUGUCCAACUCUUGUAACUCUAUUUUUUUAAAAAAAAACUAUAAUUGAUUUCACUUGCAUGGUACAAUAGUCAACGACAAGAAAGAGAGAGAAAAACUAAUUAAAAAUAAUGAUUGUAGUAUUUUUUUACUCUCUUAUUUUUAGUAAAAUAAUUAAAAAAUGAAUAACUAAAGUCCUAAAACAUUAAUUUUUAAUCAAAUAAACAUCAGUAAAAAUUAUUUUUUGAGUUUAAUUUUUGUUAAAUUGCUAGUCAUUUUCAAUUUGAACAUUUUUUUUUUUUUUUUGAGAAAAAGAUAGCAAGCUACCUGCUUCAUUCAUAAAGUGAGAUGAAUUAAACGUACAGGAUGGAAGCAACUACGGCCUCCGUAGACGAAAAAGGUGAAAACAGGGUUAGAUGCAAUAAAAAGAAAUAAAAGAUAAAAGAGGAAAGGUAAGUGAAAAGCGGAGGGAGUUGGUCAAUUGAGUAUUCCCCAGUCACUUAUUAAUCUGUUGAUGCGUUCAAAUGACCGAACUGCAUUGGGGGAUGCGGCCCGAAAGAUUACCAAGUUUCUAUUUGUCCAGACAACUCACCAGAUUGCAACCAGAUGGAUUAAACCUUUGGAUUUCUUUGCAGCGUCAGUGGUUCCAGAUACAUUGACCCAAAGCGGUUGAACAUUACUUACGAACUAAUCUGAACAUUACUUACGAGCUAACAAAAAGGGGGUUGAGGUGUCUAUUCUUGCGCGUUAAUCAAUAGGGGUUAGUUCUUUUCUCUGAGGAUGGACUUGUACGAAGAUGGAGAAAGGUGGCCCGCUUAGACAAAGGAAAAGAAUUAUUGCUUAGUCCUGAUUUAUGAAUUGGGACCAGUAGUUUUCAAGUCGUUGAAAUAGCUAUUUAUUAAAAAUUUGCUUUGCUUAGAAAAAACAAAGAUUAAUAUUCUCUUUGCAAUCGAAUCGCCUUAAUACAUUCCGUAUGAUGCUUUUAAUUUCGUCAUUCAAUUCUUUUAUUAUUAAAAAUAAAUAUUAAACUAAAAUCUACAUUAAAAGAAAAAAAAAAUCUAAAGAUGUGCCAGCAUGCGCUGUGGACUAGCUACGUGAUGAAUCAUGUAACAAUUUCUCGUGAUUACGAAGUUAAAUUAAUUUUCACAUAAACUAGUUAAUAGAGGAGUAAAUCAGCAAAUACAAGGAUCUAAUAGCUCCUAAUUUUGAGGAUAAUAGUAAUUUUUUUAAGGAAACAUGCUCACAGACGUUUGACCUUACAAAUUUUCUGCUCAGAAAAUUAACUAGUAUUUAUAUCUGCAAAAAAAAAAAAAAAAAAAAAAAAAAAAAAAAAAAACACAAUAGAAAACGAUAAUAGAAAACGAUACAAAGCAAGAGAGAGAGAGAGAGAGAGAAAAUCUAAUUUUAUUGCUGGAGGAAAGAACAAAAAAGAAAUAUUUUAAAUACUUCAAAAUAUUAUUUUUAUAAAUUAUUAUAUAUUUAAUAAAAAUAUUGUGCAGAUCAUAACAUAACAUAUUAAUAAUAUAUAGAAACACGGUGCAGAGGAUUAAGAGUGAGUGACGAAGACAUCGUACUGGACGACGGUGUAACCGGUGGUUUGGUCGAAGGUGUGCGUCCGCGCCUGCGCGUAGCCACGGGCGAGCCUGAAGAGGCCGCUGCCGCCGACCACGGCCAUCUCGCGCACCUGCGAGAAGACGUCAUUGCGGCCCAUGAUGACGAUGGUGCUGUUGGCGUAGUCGCCCUGCGCGAAGACGAAGGUCAUGGCCAUGAGGAGGCCGACGCUGUCCUUGCCCGCGAAGGAGUAGAGCCCCUGGGCGUGGCCCACCAAGGGGGACGACAGGUUCGGCCCCACCGUGAGCGGGUCGUCGAUCAUGACGAUGGUGCCGAAGCUCGUCGUCGAGUUCUUCUCUGAGGGCGCCUGCGCCACACGCACCGACGUCGGGCUCGGCCCGCUCACGAUGUCGUGCCAGAAGAACUGGAAGUGGCUCUGCGUCUCGUAGGCCGCCUUUUCGACGCGCUUCUCGCUCCGCAGGAAGCUGCUCAUCUGCUCUUCGGAGUGCGCCCAGCACGAAGAGGAGGAGAAGAAGAAGAAGAGGAGAAAGGUGGUGAGAAUGGGGAAGAGCUUGGCCAUGGUGGGGGAGAGUGGGAGUAAAGGGUAAUGCAAAGAAUGGGGUAUUGGGGUUAGCUAGGGAGGCGUUUAUAAUAGUUUUAAGGAAAGAGAAAUGAUUGAGUAAGCAAUCGGACCGCUUUUGCGCGCCAUUCAAAAGGUGGUAACCUGUCAUUACCUACCGCUUUAUUAUACGGAAACGCAGAGUUCGAUCUAAUUUUGUUCCAUACUUAACGUAGACUCGACUUAGCACCAAAUUUUCACUCCACAUAGCACACUACACUAUAAUUGUGAAAAAAAUACUAUAUACAUCAGUUUCCACACAUACAGAGCUCACCACAAUAAUCGGGUUCUUCGCACGAUCUACAUUGUACGUGUCAUAUAAAACAACACUCCUAUAAAGUAUCCCUCCCUCGCAUGCACGGAUGCACCCACCCACGCACCUAGUGCAUCCAAAAACACUCCACUUAAAACAACUCUUCAAACCCUGAGUAUGAUGGACCACCAGAGCUCACCGUCCUACAUCACGGCUGUUAAUUUCCUCAUUUAUUCAUUGCGUAGUACAUAGGCUACAAGGCAUCAUAAAUUUUAGUAUAAAUAGAUUUCUAUUUUUAUUCAAAUUUAAAUUCUUUUCGAUUUAUUUAUUAUAAAUUUGAACUUUUCAUUCUAAUUUGAAUAGAAUUUGCUAUGCGUUUAAUAAAUCAAACCCUAAUAUUUAGGUUGAUAAAUAAGAAAAAUUAUUGCCUAGACACUAUGUAUAAAUUGAAACAAGUGGUUUUCAAACAGUUGAAACAACUACAACUAUUUAUUGGACCCCCGGGAUGUUAGCUAGGAUGAAACAAUAAGACCGCGCGCGUGCACACGCACGUGCGAGCCUAGAAAGCCAACUUUACCCCACCGAAGGCAUCUUCCACCUAAAACUAUAAAACUCGCAACAUUUCACGUCCCGGGCAUGCACCUAACAAAAUUAAAUUGUGCUUUGAUAUCAACUGCUCCCAAAAAUCUACAAGCUUAUGUUCUGGUGCCAAUCUCUUUUGAGUAUCACUUCGGUGGUUCGACAAUCCUGAGCUUUAAUUUCAGAUGUUGAGAAUCCACAAGUCACUCCGACUCCAAUUAUUAUAAAUUCGGUAUUCAUUCUGAUACUGAUUGUAAAAAUUCAGCAACAUAAAUACUCAAUUAGAUUUUUACCAUAAAUCUAUCUCUUUAACGAAAGAUUGACACAACUGUAAAAAAAAUAAAUAAAUAAAUAUAGAUUAUGUAAGAUUCACUAAUCAAUAAAAAUAUGACAUCCGACUUUUUUUUAUAGAGUAGUUUCUGCUCGAUCCCUCUUUCUGAAUCUCUGAUCUCCAUCUUUUCUCAUCUUCUAUCAUACAAGAAGACUUACUCUUUCUCUUUCUUGCACGCGCUUGCGCACGCGGUGCACCCAAAGAAACUCUACUGGGAACAGCUCUCCGGAGUGUAGUACAGACCAUCAGAGCUCAACCCUUGGCGUGCGGACUAAGGAUGCCAAUGGCCUUGGUACGAGCUUUUGAAAUUUUAAUAGAAUCCGUGUUCGAACCCAGCGGGCUUAGCUAGUUUUUAACAAGUCUGAGUUUGGCCUACGGGUGUAAAAAUUAAAAAUUCCAUGAUGUGUUUGGAUAUGAUUUUUAUCUGUACCCGAAUCCAAAUUAAUUUUAUAUUUUAAAAUAUUUAAAAUUUUAAUUUGUAAUUUUAAAAUUCAUAUUUAACUAUGAUAGGUUUAAAAUUUCGGUAAAGGAAAAUAACCGCUUUUGGGUUGGAAUUCUUGGGAUCAGUUUCCGGUUAAUUUUGAUUUUUUUUUUAAGAUAGGUUUUGAUUAUGAAAUUUCAAAUUCGACAAAUUUAGAUUCAGAUAGUCAGAUUUUGGUUCGGUUUUUAAAAAACCUGCUCCGAAUCGAGCGAGUUGACAUCUCUAGUAUGGAUUCCACAGUAAUAAGUUGUGCUCUGUCAAUAGUCCAUAUGUGCAUUAUAUAAUGCAUGGACUGCAAUAUAUCUCAAAUGUCAGUAUAAUUAGAUUUCGAUUUUAAUUUAAAGUCAAAUCUUACUCGAUCAAUUUAUUUAUUAUAAAUUUAAAUUUUCAUUCUAAUCUAAUUAGAAUUUAAAUCUAACCUAAUCAUAAUGCUUACGUUGUUUUUUUUUUUUUUUACUUUUUUUGAGAUGAAUGGAAGAUGCAAAACAUUCCAACUUGCUUCAUCAAUUAGGCCAAUGAACAAGCCAAGAAAAAGUGAUUCCUUCACAUACAGAAAUGACAAAUAAUAAAAAAAGAAAGCAGAGAUCUACAAGUGAGAGUUGAGAACUAAAUGCCUCUAGUUCUGCAGUAGGCAUCUUUCUUAUCCAAUCUUUUCAUAUUGUAACUAUCACUUUUGCUACAUUACGAUUGCAUCUUGUGUUAGAAAAUUGGAUUGUUUCUUAAUUUCUAGCCAUAUUCUGUACCAUAUUGCGCUUCGAAGAAGAUCACACCCACUUUAUAAAUGUUUCACGAUUGAUGUUGUUCUUCCUCUAUUCUGUCCAAGCAUCUAACAACUAUCUGGCAAGCAUCUAGCUAACACUUAGGCUGAUCAAAGAAAGAAAAUUACUGAUUAUCGCUGAUUUAUAACUUGAGACAAGUACAUUUCAAAUUGUUUUUUUUUUUUUAAGAGCUAGGUAACACACUACCCAUUUCGUUUAUUUCAUUUAGAAAUAAGCUUAGCUGAAAAUGUGAAUCAAUUAGGAUUCGAACUUGGAAUCUCAGUUACCAACCACCAAAUCCUUUGCCACUUGCACUAGAGACGGUGUAAUCUAGUUAAUCCAACACGUUUUUUCAAAGUAUCAAUUUUUUUUUUCACUUUUUAAAAUAAUUGAGAUUUAAAAUGUUAAAGCAAACGACGUGCCAGCACGCGUUGCAAGACUACGUGAUGCAUCGUGCAAUAAUUUCUCCCAAUCACGAAGUAAACUAAUUAAUCUUCGGAUCACGCGAUUCACGUGGUAGACAGAAUGCAAGCAAUAAGUUUAUUGAGGCUUAUAAUUCGCGCGUGACAAUUGGAUGCAAUAUAUGGCAAAAUUUUUAAAAAUAAGUCAACCAUCACAAGGCUCUAAUAACUCCUACUUUCGAGAAAAAUAAUGUGCUUUGGACAAUUGCCCAUAAAUUCAUUAAUCUUAAAAAUUUUCUCAAGCGCAAUGCUACAUCCACAACUACCCUUUGAUUGUAAUUUUAUAAUCCAUCUAUUCAUUGACUAAUUUUUUUAUCACUAAUUAUAUUACUUUUUAAUACUAAAAUAGAAAAGAUUGUAUAAAUUCUACAAAGAGAAUUUUAAGUUUUGAAUUAAUGAUUGUAAUCUCACAACCCUUUCUAAAUUGCGGGCUUAGAAUUUUUCUUUUCUAAUGUAUAUAUCACCCGCUAAACUUUGAAAGAAAAUGCAAAUAGAAAAGUGGAAAGAAAAAAAAAUGGCCAAUUUGCAUAAAAAAUCCACUUAUUUUGGGCUUUUGCAAAACCGGGCCACUUUUUUUGUUCUUGCAGAUUCGGUCCACUUUUUCAGCAAACUGACCAAAAUACCCUUUUUACUUUUUCUCUUUACUCUUUCUCUCUCCUCUUCGUUUCUCUCGUUCUUUUUUUUUCUCGCCGGCAGAGCGGAGGCGGAAACGGUCCGUCUCGCCUCUCACCCUCAUUCUCUAGCCCUCGCCCUCGCCCUCGCCCUUACCCUCGUCCACGCACCCCCAACCUUCCUCGCCUCCAACCCCGCCAAGGCCGCGCCACGACUUCUUUUUUUUUUUGCUUUUUUCUUUUCUUUUCUUCUCCGACUCUUCUCCACCGUCUCCGACGACGACGCCUCUCUCGUCCUUCUCGUCCUUCCCCGCCUUUCUCAUCUCUCCCUCUCCCUCAUUCUCUGCCGCCUCCGACGACGAUGCAUCUUCGCUGGCGCCGACGUCGACACCGUGGAGGUCACUGCGGCGCUACAGGCUCGGAGCGGGGGUCCUUACCGGUGUCGUCGCCGGCACCGUGGCUGUUGGCAGAGAAGGUGACAAAAAAAAUUAUAGAAAAAACAGAAAAAAAAAAUAAAGAUAAAAAAUUAGAUAAAAAGAAAGAUGAACAUCAAAUUGUAUCGUUAACUGUAAAAAAAAUUAUAAAUUGCAUUAUUUAAGAUGUAAAACUGCAGCUUUAAGAUGAAAACUACACUCUUUAAACGAAAAUUACACUCUUUGAUAAAUAUUUACACUGUUUCCCUUCUUGUUACACUUUUUCAGAUGUAAACUGCAUCAAUUAAUAUGAAAGUUACACUCUUUAAACAAAAGUUGCACUGUUUCUCCUCUUGUUGCACCAUUUUUUCUCUUAUUAUACUAUUUUUUAUCUUAAACUGCACCAUUUUAAGAGAUAUUUAUACUGUUUCUUCUCUUGUUGCACCAUUUCUGUGUAAAUAAGAGGAGAAAUAGUGCAACAAGAGGAGAAACAGUGCAAGAAGAGAAGAAACUGCACUGUUUUAAGAGAUAUAUAUACUGUUUCUCCUCUUGUUGCACCAUUUCUGUGUAAAUAAGAGGGGAAAUAGUGCAACAAGAGGAGAAACUGCACUAUUUUAAGAGAUAUAUCUACUGUUUUUUCUCUUGUUGCACUGUUUCUCCUCUUGUUGCACCAUUUCUGUGUAAACAAUAGAAGAAAUAGUGCAACAAGAGGAGAAACAAUGCAAUAAGAGGAGAAACUGCACCCUUUUAAGAGAUAUUUAUACUGUUUCUCCUCUCGUUGCACCAUUUUUGUGUAAAUAAGAGGAGAAAUAGUGAAACAACAGGAGAAACAGUGCAACAAGAGGAGAAACAGUAUAAAUAUCACUUAAAAGGAUGCAGUUUAAGAUAAAAAAUAGUAUAAUUUUCAUUCAAAGAGUAUAAUUUUUAUCUUAAACCAGCAGUUUACAUCUUAAAUAGUGUAACUUAUAAUUUUUUUUAUAAUUAACGAUAUAAUUUCAUCUUCAUCCUUCUUUUUAUAUAAUUUUUUAUCUUUAUUUUUUUUUUCUGUUUUUUCUAUAAAUUUUUUGUCACCUUCUCUGCCAACAGCUACGGCGCCGGUGACGGCACCGGUGACAACGCCGCUAAGGACCCCCCGCUCCGAAGCUGUAGCGCCGCAGUGACCUCUACGGUGUCGACGUCGGCGCCGGCGAAGAUAAAUCGUCGUCGGAGGCGGCAGAAAAUGAGGGAGAGGGAGAGAUGAGAAGGGCGGGGAAGGGCGAGAGGCGUCGUCGUCGGAGACGGUGGAGAAGAGUCGGAGAAGAAAAGAAAAGAAAAAAGCAAAAAAAAAAGUCGCGGCGUGGCCUUAACGGGGUUGGAGGCGAGGAAGGUGGGGGGUGCAUGGACGAGGGCAAGGGCGAGGGCGAGAGAAUGAGGGUGAGAGGCGAGACGGACCGUUUCCGCCUCCGCUCCGCCUCCGCUCUGCCGGCGAGAAAAAAAAAAAAGAACGAGAGAAACGAAGCAGAGAGAGAAAGAGGAAAGAGAAAAAGUAAAAAGGGUAUUUUGGUCAGUUUGCUGAAAAAGCGGACCGAAUCUGCAAAAAUGAAAAAGGUGGCCUGAUUUUGCAAAAGUCCAAAAUAAGUGGAUUUUUUAUGCAAAUUGGCCUUAAAAUUACAAUUUAAAUUUUAAUUUGAAUCCAUAAAUUUAAUUUAAGUUUGAAAUAAAAUUUGAAUAAAACUUUAUAUAAAUUAAAAUUUAAUUUAAAUUCAAAUUCAUAAGUUAGAUUCAAAAUACUUGAUUAAAUUUUAAAUUUUAAUUUUAAGUUCAAAUUAAAAUUUAAAAUAAUAUAUUUAAUUUUUAAAUUUUAACUCAUAUUUUAAUUAAAAAAGUUUGAAAAAAUAAAUUUAAUCCGAAUAAAUAUCCAUGCCGUCCGAAUUCAACUUCCAAUCCGGCCUCCUAGGCCGGAUUGAAAAAAGAGAUGAUUGGGGAAUUCCCAUUCCACUCGGAAAUCGAAAUCGGAAUAGGACUUCCGCGUACCAAACACCCACAAACGAAUUUACCCAUUCCGAUUCUUGAGUGAAAAUGAAGCGAACUAAACACGCCCUUAUUGGAAUUUCAUAAACUCUUGGAUGAUCAAGUUGUAAGAUUUAUAUGUCUUAUCUUGAUGUACAAAUAGCAUUUGCCAUGAUCUAUAUAAUAAAAUUAAAAAAUAAAAUGAGAUAUUUAUGAAGUCAUACUAAAUUUUACUAGUUUAAUUAGUAGUUAAUCUUUAACCCACUAAUAUAUCCUCGUUUUUAAAAUGGCUAAAAUAUAAAAAAAAUUCUUCAAAAAUUAUAUCAACCUUUUGCUUCCUCUCUGGAUUUUAAAAAUCUAUAUUUUACACUCUUAAAAUUUAGAAAUAUUUUCAGAAGAUUAUGGCCUUAAAUAAUGGAGAAGGCGAAAUAAUCAAAUUAUUUUCACUGGUUCUAUAAGAAAAAAAUAAUUUUUAAAAUUUUUUUUUGUUAGGUUAAAAUAUUUUUAAUAUAAAUUAUAUGAAAUGAACGAAAUGGUGAUGGAAUGCGUGAGUUAGAUAAAUUAAAUUAAAAUUUUAAAUAAAUAUAAUAUAAAUUUUAAAAAAUUAGAAUAAGUAGAUAUUUACGGAGAAUAUACUAUAUUUUAGCUUUUUAUUAAGUCAAUUGCAUACAGGUCCCCGCGAACGUAAUGAAUUAUAGAUAUAUCCAUGUAAAGUUCAACUUUCAUAAAUUAUCCUGCAAAAGUUCUAAUAUUUUCAGAUAUGUCCUUGCCGUUAGAAUUUGUUAGAAAAGUUUAGUUAACCAUAGGUUAAAUACUUUACUCGGGUUAAUUUUUGACAUUUUUAUCCCUUUUAUAUUAUACUGUUAUAAUUUUUGUAGGAACGUAUUUGUAUGGCAAAAUUGAAAAUAUAAACAGUUUUCUAACGGUUCUCUAAUGGUAACAAAUCAGAGGGACAUAUCUGAAAAAUAUCAAGACUUUUGCAGGAUUAAUUUAUGAAAGUUGAAUUUUAUAAAGAUGUAUCUGUAAUUUACUAUGUUUGCGGGAUUUGGAUGCAAUNAGCAUAUCCUGCAUGUGUCUCUUGAACCUAUCCCAUCUACCAUUACAGGGAGGGAAACAAAAAAAAAAAAAAAAAACUCAAAUAAAAAUAAUAUAUUUUAUUUGUAUAAAAUUAUUAUUGUAUUAAUGAACAUAGAAACGUCCAUCGUAUACGAAUAUCAACACAUCAAUAAUAUAUAAAAACUCCAGCAACAGUAAGAUAGGAGAUCAUGCAAAUGGAUUAAGAGUGCGUGACAAAGACGUCGUAUUGGACGAUGGCGUCGCCGGUGUUGUUGUCGAGGGUGUGCGUCCGCGCCUGCGCGUACCCAGUAGCGUGCCUAAAGGGGCCGCUGCCGCCGACCACGGCCAUCUCCCUGACCUCGGAGACGACGUCGUUGCGGCCCAUGAUGACGAUGGUGUUGUUGGUGUACUUGCCCUGCGUGAACACGAACGUCAUGGCCAUGAGGAGACCGAAGCUGUCCUUCCCCGAGAAGGCGUAGAACCCCUGCGCCCGGCCCACCAGCUCGGUGGACAGCUCCGGCCCGACCGUGAGCGGGUCGUCGAUCAUGACGAUGGUCCCGAAGAACGUGGUCGAGUUCUUCUCCGACGGCGCCUGCGCCACCCGCACGGAGGUCGGGCUCGGCCCGCUCACGAUGUCGUGCCAGAAGAACCGGAAGUGGCUCUCCGUCUCGUAAACCGGCUUUUUGACGCGCUUCUCGCCCAGCACGAAGCUGCUUUGCUCUUCGGAAUAGGCCCAGGAGGAGGACGAGAGGAGGAGGAGGAAGAAGAUAAUGGUGGUGAGAAUGGAGAAGAGCUCGGCCAUGGCGGAAGAGAGCGAUGGAAAUGGAGAAGGGAUGGUUCUAUAACUUUUCUAUGCUGAUGUAUGAUGGGGUGUGCUAUAUAUAUAGGGAGAGAAAUUGCUUGCCGAGUCGACGAGUCAGUAGAGCCGCUUUGUUUUUGGGAGGCAUCGGUUGGUGGGGUGGGUACGGACUCUGCUUUUAUUUUUGUCAUCGGCAGUUUUUAAGUACAUCUCGAGGUCGGCGUGGACUUUGUGAACAUCCAUAAAAAAUAAUAAAAAAGAAUAAUAAUAAUAAGUAAGAGUGGGAACUGCUCAACAUGUAACUAAUAAUCUCGCCUUGAAAUCAUCUUCACUAAAUUUUUAUUUCACACUUUAGCUGAUUUAAUUGAUCUUGGCAAUGAAAUAGGAUAAUGCGUUUUAGUUAAAAAUAUGGCAGUGAAUCGUAGUUACUAAUUGUAGAGUUAGUAAUUAAUGGACGUGACUUCAUUUAGUUUGGUUUGAAGAGGUCAUCAAACUACUAUAGCAAAAUGAUUAAAUAAAGUUAUAUUUAAAGAUUUGUUAGUUAUCACGCCUACAAUUUUUUUCUAUUAUUAAAAGCUUUUAUUAAAAUUGAAAAUUUCCUCUAUAGAUAGUAAAAUAAACAAUUAAUUUGCUUGGCUCAACUAAUCGUUCUAUAUGUUUUUUCUUUUCGGUCUCUCUAAAUAUGGUGAUGAGUAUAUGAUUAUUUUUUUGGGUUUAACAGAGAAGCGGUAGUUAGUGUAUCGCGUAUAAUAAAAAGUAGACGGGGUCAAUACGGCAAUUUUCUAUAGUGGAGUAUGCUGUAUGCAGUGGGGUCAAAAGAAGUUAGAAAAAGCAAAAAACGUACAGAGUUCACAUGGCUCUGCUGUCCGGAGAAAACAAAUUAAAGCAGUUGCAAAUAUUCAUUCUCCUCGUCAGAAAUGCGUAGCCUGCACGUCGUAUUGGACCAUGGCGCCUCCGGUGUUGGAGAAAGUUACGACUGUAACAUUUAUGCGAGACCAUCAAUGAUCACGCAAUCAUAUACUUUUUUUUAAAUAUAUAAAAAAUAUAUUUUUUUAACAAUUACGAUGAAAUUGAUGAAUUCAAAGAAAAAAAAAAUCUGAUUAAUUCAGAAUGUUAUAGAGCAAUAUAACUAACGUAUUCUAAAUUUUUUUUUUUUUUUGUGUUUAGGGCUGCUGCACAGUAUGGAGCUGUCGCAUCCGUGCCGACCCGAUCCGGCCCGAACUUUAGGGCUGUACUGGGCCUCUCCCCUUCGCCCGACGACUCAAUACGACACGGUUAGCAACGGACACGAACCAUGCCGGGCGGAGGAGAGGUCUGUCGCCCAGCACAGCGUGGCUCACUUGGGCCAUGCCAAUUGGGCCAGCACGAUCCGAACCCAAGAGCCCAAGGCAACUUGCUUUGGGUCUUGGGAUCCGAGCUACUGCGUCUCCCUAGGAGGCAGCAGCUCUUCUGAUUUAUAAAUUGAGACAAACAUCUAGAUUACAAAUUGCGGAGAUAACUAUAUGUUUAUUUAAAAAGUUUACUCACUAAAAAUACAAAGAAUCUCAUUGCUAUCGAUAUUUUCGCCCACAUAUAUAUUGUGGACUCAUGUUGAUGCACCGUCUUGUACUUUGCCACAACGCUUGUCUAUAAUCUAGUUAUCCAAUACUUUUUUAAAAAAAUAUCAACUUUUUUUUUUCACUUUUUUAAAGAAUUGAGAUUAAAAUGUAAAAGCAAACGAGAUGCGAGCACGCCUUGCAAGAGUACGUGAUGCAUCGUCCAAUAAUUUCUCCCAAUUACAAAGUCAAAUAAUUAAUCUUCCCACCACGCGAUUCACGUGGCAAAUCGAAUGCAAGCAAUAAGUUUAUUGAGGCUAUAAUUCGCGCGUGAAAUGUAGAUGCCCUUUAUGGGAAAAAAAAAAUAAAAUAAGUAAACCAUCACAAGGCUCUUAUAGCUCCUAUUUUCGAGAAAAAUAAUGUUUUUUUAGACAAUUUCCCAUAAGUUCUUUUAUCUUAAAAAUUUUUUCAAGCGCAAUGCUACAUCCAUAACUACCCUUUGAUUGUAAUUUUAUAAUUUAUCAUUUUUUUAAUACUAAAAUUAGAAGAGAUUGUAUAAAUUCUAGAAAGAGAAUUAUAAGUUUUGAAUUGAUGAUUGUAAUCUUACAAUCCUUCUUAAACUGUGGACUUAGAAUUUUUCUUUUCUAAUGUAUAUAUCAUCCGAAAAACUUUGAAAGAAAAUACUGUAGGAAACUGCAUGGAUUGUCAGUCAUUCGAUCGCUACCAAUACAAAUACGCAAAAAUAGAAAAAAUCAAACGAUAAAAUAAAUAAAAUACAGCAAAAAAGAGCAAAAUUUAUGUGGUUCGGCAAUUGACUAUAUCUACGAAAAAAGCGAGAGAGAUAUAUUCCACUAUAUAAAGAAACAAAAAUUCAAACUUAUUCCUUCUAUCUUCUUCAGAUAAAAAAAUUAAGAACCUUAUGAUGGAUCCUAUCUUUCUCUUGUUUCAAUGAAAAUUUUAAAAAUUACUGAAAAAAGUUUUUCGUAAAACUGAGAAAAUUAAAUUCGAAAAUAUCAAAAACUCUGAUCAAAUUCUUUAUAUCGUUGCUUCGAUGAAUCACCACCUCUCAGCCAAUUGGUCGAGCAUGCAACUGUGCUCCGCUGCCAGUUCCGAUCCAAACGUCGCAUGCGCCUCUCUCUUGCCGUCGUAGGCCAUCCGAUCGACGUCCUGAACGCUAAUUAAUUUUCUCACAUACGAACGCACACAGUACAUUCACAACGGCAUGCAUAUACAUAUAUAGAUGCAUUAGCUGGUCAACAAGUCAACUACUAUUCACCGAAUAUUAAUUAGACUCAACCUCGUAUGGAUAAACAUGUAUCUUGCACCAAUAAAAAUCAACUUCAAGAUCUAUUGAUACAUACCAUAGAUCUAGUCUAUACCAUCUUUCAUGAAUCAACUUAAUGGAUUAAUUAAUUUGACUCAAUCUUAGUUAAAAAAAAAAAAACAUAUUCUUAGCAAAUACAUGUAGAAAAAAAAGAAAAAAAAAAUCCAAAGCAAAAGAGUGAGGCCGAGGAUAUAAUUUCAUUGUUGGAGAGAGAGAAAAAAAAUUUCAAAUAAAAAAUAUAUAUUAUGUCAGUGAAGACAUACAUAUGUAUCAUAUAUGAAAGACAACACAUCGAUAAUAUAUAAGUACUGCAACAUGCAAGGUUAGUAUACCAUGCAUGCAAAUGGAUCAAGAGUGCGUGACAAAGACAUCGUAUUGGACAAUGGCGUCGUGAGUGUUGUUGUCAUGGGAGUGUGUCCGCGCCUGCGCGUACCCAGUAGCGUGCCGGAAGGGGCCGCUGCCGCCGACCACGGCCAUCUCCCUGACCUCGGAGAAGAUGUCGUCACGGCCCAUGACGACGACGGUGCUGUUGGUGUACUCCCCCUGCGUGAACACGAACGUCAUGGCCAUGAGGAGGCCGAAGCUGUCCUUCCCCGAGAAGGCGUAGAACCCCUGCGCCCGGCCCACCAGCUCGGUGGACAGCUCCGGCCCGACCGUGAGCGGGUCGUCGAUCAUGACGAUGGUCCCGAAGAACGUGGUCGAGUUCUUCUCCGACGGCGCCUGCGCCACCCGCACGGAGGUCGGGCUCGGCCCGCUCACGAUGUCGUGCCAGAAGAACCGGAAGUGGCUCUGCGUCUCGUAAACCGGCUUUUUGACGCGCUUCUCGCCCAACACGAAGCUGCUUUGCUCUUCGGAGUAGGCCCAGGAGGAGGCCGAGAGGAGGGGGAGGAGGAGAAGGGUGGUGAGAAUGGAGAAGAGCUUGUCCAUGGUGGAAGAGAGAUGGAAAUGGAGAUGGGAUUGCUUGCUUUUGUCUUAUCUUUUGCAAUAAAAAAUAUCGCAGCAUAUCGUAGUUACCCGUCAUGUAAGGUUAGUAAUUAAUGGACAUAACUUCAUUUAGUUUGGUUUGAAGAGACGAUCAAACUACUACAGCAAAAUGAUUAAAUAAAUCUGCAUUUAAGAUUUGUUAGUUGUCACGUUUGUAAUUUUUUUUCUAUUAGUAAAACUUUUUAUUAAAAUUGAGAAUUUACUCUAUAGAUAGUAAAUUGAACAAUUUAUUUGCUUCGCUCAACUUAUCUUUCUAUAUUUUUUGUUUUCGGUCUCUCUAAAUGUUGUGAUGAGUAUAUGAUUUUUUUGGGUACAACGUUGAAAGAGUAGACGGGGUCAAUAGGGCAAUUUUCUAUGGUGGAGUAUGCAGUAGGCAAGUUGGGGUUGAAAAAAAGUUAGAAAAAACAAAAACGUACGGAGUGCGCAUGGCUCUACUGUUCGGAGAAAACAAAUUAAAGCGGUUGCAAAUAUUUCCCUUGUCAAUAAUGCCUAGCAUGCACGUUGUAUUGGACCACGACGUCCCGGUGUUGGAGAAAGUUAUGAUUGUAACAUUUGUAUCAGGUCAUCAAUGAUCACUGAAUUAUAUUUAUUUAAAAAAUUAAUAAUAAAAAUAUUUUUUUAAUAAUUAUGAUAGAAUAGUUGAAUUUAAAAAAAAAAAAAUCUGGUUAAUUGAAGAUGCUAUAUUAGCAAUAUAACCGGCACAUUCUUUUCUCCUUUUUUUUUUCAUGGCUAAGGCUAGGCUGCAGCUUAGUACGAAUCUAUAGUACCCAAACCGCCCGGCCUGGUUCAAACUUUAGGGCUGUGCUCGGCCUCUCCCCGUGGGCCCAACGGCUCGGCCUGGCACAACCCUAACCGUGCCGGGCGGAGAAAAGGCUCAUUGGCCAGGCACACAUCGCUUGCUUGGGUCAUACCAGUCGUGCCAGCACGGUCCAAACCCCAUGAUCCAAGGCAAGUUACUUUGGGAUCUGAGCUCCUGGGGCGAAGGACCAAGGAAUUCUCCUUCACAGACCUUGGGGGAGCAAUUUUGGUCCAAUGGACCAAACAAUUUUGGUGCAUUGGACCAAAAACUCUCUUUAUUCUUUUUUUUCAAAUUUUUUUUUAAUUUAAAUAUUUAUUAUUUUAUAAAUAUUUUUAUAAUUUUUAAAAAAUUUUAAUCAAAAUAUUAAUUUCGAUAGAAAUAAUUUAUUAUUUAUAUUUUAAAUUUUACAUUUUUAAAAAAAUAUAUAUAAAUCUUAUGGGGUCGGCCGAAGCAGGGCCCAUACCUUUCGGGCCUAAGGGCCGUGCUGGGCCAGAAGCUGGUAGCUCCGACCUGCCGAAAUUCGGAACCAGAUUCUGCAGAGAUAAUGCGGACCGUGCAGGUCUAGCACGACGCACAUUACACUCCUAACCGUGUUAGGGUUGAAUGAGUAGGUUCGCGCAUGUGCGCGCUCACGUGCAACGCUGAAAAGCCCAUUUCCCGGACUGUAGGGUCUGGCAGGGCCCACAUUGCAACCCUACCAAUAUUCGGGGCUGUUUGGUUGUACGCAUUUGCAACUGCAGUACAGUUGCAAAUGCGUGCAGCCACAAUUCCUUUGUUUGGUUUAGUAUAGUUGAGUUCAACUGCUGCAGUUCCAACUGCACAAGAAGGCCUAAAUGCUGCAGUUGGAACUACAUCCAAAUUGGUCGUAGUUCCAACUACAGUAAUUGGUCAGAGAUAGGAUCACCCACAAAUUAAUAAUAAUAAAUAAAUAAAUAAAUAGCUAAAUAAAUAAAUAAUAUAUGUAUAUAGGUAAAUAAAAAUACUUAUAAAUAAACUCAUACUAAUAAAAUUUUUUAGACAAUACAAGCUUUGUGCAAAAAAUUAAUUUUUUUAAAUUUAUUUUAUUUAAAAUAUAAAUAUAGUUUUUUUUUCUAAAUUUUUAUAGAAUGUGAUCGUGUAUGUUAAUUUAAUAAGUUUUAAUUAAUUAUAAUUAUUAAAAUUGAUAAAAAAAAAUGAGAGAAUCGCUUAAAUUUUUAAAGUUUGAUUUACAUAUUAAAAUUAAAUAAAUUAAAAUUUUAAAUGUGUCGAUUAAUAAGUUGAAGAAUAUUAUAUAUAUCUACUUAUUUAUUUAUAAAUAGUAAAUUUAAAUAAUUAAUAAAUUUAUAUAAUUAUUUUAUGUUUAGUGAAGGUAACCUCACCACUCUAUCUGAAGAGAUGACAAAAUUCAUAAAUAUAACUAUCAGCUUCAUAUUACCGAUCAGAAAAAAUGUAACUGCAGCAGUUGCAACUGCGUAAAAUCAAACAGACUAGGUGUAGUUAUAACUGUAGUAUUUGCAACUGCAUGUAUUUCCAACUACACUGUUUCUGCAACUACAUCCAACCAAACGGCCCUUUAGGGUUGCAUGAGUGCGUUCGUGCACGUCUAGACCCACACGCGAGCCUAAAAGGCCUACUUUCCCCGAUUGUGGGCAUCUUCCUCACCUCCGCGGCAUAGUUGCGGCCCGACCACGGUGCGGUUGGUGGAGUUGGAGACAUUGGGUUAAUUUCGUGGCUAACCGUAAAACACAUGCAUGAAGAUACUGCUUCAUUAUAAUAAAAAUUGCUCCUAAGUCCCUAAUUAAACCCAAGUUGCUAACAUCAUUAGUAAUUAGGGGUAUUAAGAACACAACCCCAAAUGAAAAAAAAUCCAAAAUGAUUCGGAGCUCUGCUACUCGAUCGGAUGCUCAAAAAAAAAUAGGGAUGAAGAACUCAGCAAUUAUCGUAUGAAAUGGAAAGGUAGUGGCUGAUGUGGUUUAGAUUAAUGCCGAUACAAUAAUACUCCCUUGGUGAACACGGUACUAAUAAUUAUUCAAUAAAAAAGAUCAAACCCCGCAUAAUUAAGUUCGACUGGUGUUGCAGGUUGAUGUAAAUGCCAUUAUGAGCGCUGCUAUGUCACUCGGUAGCUGCGUGAAAAGAAAGGCUUAUACUUAGUUCGCACUCCAAUUUUUAAGAUGAAUUAUUAUAUCUGUUAUUUCUAAGGUCCAGUGUUCAAUUCAUUAUUUAAUUUUUAGAAAAGAAAGAGAUCAAUCCUUGACUCCUGGGAUUUGCAUAUACAUAUUUACAAGGUAUGAAAGAGAUUCUGAAUUAAAAAGCCUGUAGAUAAAUUAAGAAAAAGAAUUUCAAAUUUUUUUUUUUUUUUUGACACUUGUAGCAUCACUUGAUAGAUUGUCCUUUGCUUCGCCAUUCGUUUUCGCAUCCCCUUAAUUAUUUACAUGUAUCAUCAAAAUUUUCAAAACAAAAUCUGGUGGGCCAUACCGAGCAUAUUUUUACAGUAAAAAACAUCAAAUCCUAAAACAAUCCCCACCGUCCAUCACAAAAGAAUUCACAAGGCGUUUGACCCAAGCGAGGUUUCUAAUAAAAGCCCUUCUCCAUCCCAAACCGGCCUAUAAAAUCUAUGAUUUUCCAAUUUAAAUUUUAAUAAAAUAUGGAUCGUUUGUAACAUAAAACAGCAUACAGUAACAAACCGGAUACUGCCACGUAGUCCAAACCGGAUAACUUUGCUUCAUUGCAACAAUGCGUCGAUUAUACGCUGUUUCCUCGUCGUUACCGACAAGCUUUUGGGCUUCAAUUAUUUCAAUUCACACGUGCUGGUCGUAAUAAUUGAAAUGGGCCACACCGGCCGGCCCAAAAGUUAAAUCUCACUGCUCGCGCAGUUAAAUAGUUCGUGGUCUUGCAUGGCCCAAUCAAUCUCAGUUAUAAUUAAACUGUAAAUUGUUUUUUCACAUGCUAAUCAGAAAAAAAGGAAAGAAUUUGGAAUUCGAAUUCCACUAUACUCAUGGCUUAAUUAAAAGAAUUCGAUUAGAAACUGCUGUUGAGUGGAGAGUCUCUCCUAUAAAAGCCCCCUCUGUAUCGUCACAACAGAAGCACAACAUAAUGAAAGGCGAAAUGGCUCUUCUUGCACCCAAACAUUCUCUCCUUCUCCUCCUCCUCCUCCUCCUCUUCCAAGUUAUCUUCUCCACCAUUACCGCCGCCAACGCGGAGCUCACGACUCGCUUCUCCGAGCGUCCCCACAAGAAGAAGCUCAAGGAGAAGCUGAGCCAUCUCCACUUCUACUUCCACGACAUCGUCCGCGGCAAGAACAUAACGGCGGUGCCCGUCACCGCCCCGUCGCGAAGCGCGGGCUCUCCGGCGUCGGCCUUCGGCGUGAUAACCAUCAUGGACGAUGCGCUGACAAUGGGCCCGGAGCCGACGUCGGCGCCCGUGGGCCGGGCCCAGGGGAUGUACGCGUGCGCGGCGCUCCAGGAUCUGGGAUUCCUGCAGGCCAUGAACCUGGUGUUCACGGCGGGCACGUACGACGGCAGCGUCCUCACCGUGCUCGGUCGCAAUGCCCCGCUCCACGCCGUGCGAGAGAUGCCCGUCGUCGGCGGCAGCGGCCUCUUCCGCUUCGCCCGCGGCUACGCCGUUGCGCGGACCCACGACUUCGACGCGGCCACGGGGAAUGCCGUCGUGGAGUACAAUGUUUACGUCAUGCACUACUGAAAUCUAGUUCGUAAAACACACUCAAAAUAAAUUUUAAUUGAAGUAUAAGAUAUGACAGAGCUGUAUCAAUAAUUAAGUAGCGCCCAGAAUAAGUGGUCCAUCAGGUUCACAUGAUUAUGAUUUUUUUUCUUGUUUUACCCCUUGUCUGGAACGUGUACGAUUUUGUGGUCCUUUGUUUGGCUCCCAAGGAUUAAUUACAUUGUUUGAUGCAUUAACCUGUAAAUUUUUGGUCGCCUGCUUCAUUUAACUGUUUAUGUAAGUUAUAUCAACUUCGUUUAUUUCUGGGCUAAUGUUGUUUGUACCCCUGCAUUGGUACGGAUAUAUCAUAUUAAUCCAGCCCAAAAACAGAAGAGAGAGAGAGAGAGAGAGAGAGAGAGAGAGAGAGAGAGAGUAAGCGAGAAAAUAUAUGUCCAAAAUUAUUCUGCAAAAGUUCAAACAAACAACUCAUUAGAAUUAGAAUUAAAAGAACCAUAGCAAUACAAACACGAAAAAAUAAAGGUUCAUUUGGAAAAAUAACCAAAUUUUUGUACAAGCAGAAGCGGUGCUUCGUAUUCUUCUUUUCAUUUUGUGCACAUAAAUAACCUAUUUCCACUAUACAAAAUCAAUUGUAUCACCAUUUCCAGCAUUACAUACAAAGGAAUAUAUAUUUCACACAUCUGCCUCGGUAGCAUAGUAAAUAGUUAGCCCCUCUACAUUAACUGAAUAAUCCUUGAUAUUUCGACCGCAAUCUAUUAACGAUAUCAUUUAGCUGUCCCGUCUAAGUUUUCGUCUUUACCAACAUCAGAAUCCGUGAGAGGAGUCACAGCAGGCCGCCUUGUUGUAGAAAUCUUUUUCCUGCUUCCUCUCAUCGAGGAAUUGCCACUGCUGGUACUUGAUCCAUCAUGCUUAGUUAAUCUUGGUUUUGGAAAGCUGAGUUCUCGAUCGUUGUUGCCGUCCUCCAAAGUAAGCUUUCCCUGUUUGUCUUCUUGUGCUGUUUUGCGGUCUUCUUUGGUGAGUUUCUGGGGAACUGAAGAAGCUGCCGUUCUCUUUUGAGUUGGAAUAGGAAUGGAAAUAGGGGAUUUAAAAAGAGAGUGAUUUCCUCCAUUCGUGAUCGUACAUUUGCUGAUGAGGUGGUGAAGCCAAACCACUAACUCCAGUAUGAUAGCUUCGGUCUUCUCCUUGUCCGCAUGAUGAAGUGUCUCCAUCCUGAUCAGAUCAAGCUGCCCACCAAGGUUUUGAUUCCUGGAAAAAAAAAAAAAAAAAAAACAUACAUCUAAUAAAAUUGUGCAUUAAAAAGGGCUUAUCUGAUGUGUCUGUAGCCCCAGAGAUUUAACAAAUCAGAAGAAAAUAAAGAGAGUGGAUGAGCUUCUCACCCUGUGUUCGCCCACUCUCCGACCCAUCCAAAGCCAUGGUGUGCUCUGAUUACAGUUUACAAUACACAAAAAGGGAAGCAGAUGGUUAGAAGGACUGAAGGUUCGAAUAUUAAUGAAUGAUAUAAGAAGCCACAAUACCUAGUUGUGUUAUUGGCGAUAGGUACAAGCCAUUGCAAUGUUUUCUCCAUUUCUGCUCUGAUUUGAGGUGCUGUGAGCUACAAGAGUACAGUAAAAACCUCUUUUAUUGAAUAAAACUUCAAACAUAAUGCAAAUGCCGCAGGGGCAGUCAUGGUCGAACAAUAAAAUAGUAAGGAAAGAAACCAACCUCUUCGUCGACCUGAAAUGAUUGUAGCUUAUUUCGUAAAGUAGAUUUAACGGUAAGGGGCAAUGCUUGGUACAAUGCAUCCCUAGCAUUCGGAGGGACUGAACUUGACCGUGAUACCUUGGAUAAGUACAUCAUUAUCAGAAUAAGAUUUCACAUAAUGAUUAUUUAGAGAAAGUUUUAAUCUGCGUAAUGAUUAUUUAAAUAUAUUGAAAAAAAGGAACUUACAAGAGUAUCAAUCUGUGUAAUGAUAUUUGCAUAGUGCAGCGCGAGUCCAGCAGAUCCUAACCUCUGAUGGCUAGUAACGGACCUUUUCACAGUUUGAUCUUCACCUACAAUUUGGUAGAAAUACAAUUUUCCUUUUAAUAAAAGAACAGAAAAGUUUGUGACAAUGACAUGAAUUCAAAAAAUUCAACGAGUUAAGAGAAUAUUGUGAGGACGGGCAUCAUGCAUUCAGAGAAAAGCACGGUAAAUUAAAAGAUCUCAAAUGAUUAUGUCGGUGAUUUCAAAAUUUAGAUCAUAUGUACAAUGAAAAGAACUUCUCAAGGAUGUAAAAGAAAUGGAUUUCAUAUAAAAAAAACAAUGAUAAAUUGUAAGAAACAAAAGGUAAUUACCUGUAAUUCUAAAGGCAUCAUGAAUCUUCAAACCUAAAAAGUGGACAAUGUCUACAAGCUUCUCCAUGACCUACAGCAAAGACACAAAUUAUCACAAAAUUCUAUUCAAUGCACUAGAUAGAAACUUAACAUCUAUUUCUUCAAGUGAGUUAAAUCAAAUAAUUAUGCAAUCUGUAAUACAACUGCCCAAGCCACGUACAUCUUCAAGUAUCUUAGACCAAAGUGAUUUCUUCUUUAAACUAAUUACAUGCUUCCUCUGGUUCUUCAACUCUUGCUUUAUGAUUUGAAUUGUGUCCCCUACAACGUAACAGAAAGCACAAGUGAUUACUAGCUGCAAAAGGAUUAUGCAUGAACUUAUCUUCAUAGCAAUGGAUUGAAUUCAGUCAUCAAGUAAAACUGCCGUAACAGUAACAAAUAUAUUCAUGGAACGAUAGAAGUGAAACAUUUCCUAAGCCAAGGUCAAACUAUCAAUGGUUACAUGCGAAGGGUCGGAUUGGCUAACCUUUUUGAAAUGCAACUGAACUGCCCUCUUCCUGAAGUCUUCGCCGAUAAUCUUGCUCAAAUCUAUCUAAUGCAUUCAACUCAUGAUAGAGUUCCUGAUAGAAAUAAAUUUACCAAGGAGAAUAAAACAUUAAGAGACUUCCAGAGAAAGAAAAUGAUGCCAAAAAGACACAUAUCGCAUACGAAAAAAUUAAGCACAAAGUUCACUUCUGAUUUCCAUUGUGUUAGGUAAGUCUCUGUUCCUUAUGAUGAGUUUCAAUCCCACCAGAUUCAUCAUUGCAUUUUACCAUCCCCCAGAACCAAUAGAAACAUGCUACUUUUAUGUAAAAACUCUCAUCAGCAAUUUAUUAGGGAUAAGCCUCAGGUUGACGAGAUUAAAGUUUCUCUCCUUCAUAUACUUGCUAAUAUCUAUUCACAUUUACGCCCUUUUUCCUUCACUACUUGAGUACUUGUAGUAUCUCAAUAACAUGGUUUUUUUUAAAAAAAUCUCAAUACAGAAGUUUCAGAAUGUCUUGGUGAGAAAAGAAACCAAACCUUACUAUAUUCCAUAAAAUGAAACAAAUUGGAAAAUUAUAUCUUAGUUACUCUAAAACACACUUAUUCACACGACACAAGUACCCAACCCCCCACCACCCCCCCACCCCCCNNNNNNNNCCCCCUCUCUCACCAAAAGAAUCUCAAUUUGUCACAUUAUUCCCUAUCAUAAGUUAAUUCCAUGAAGACCAUGCACAUAUGCAAUGGAAGCACCACCUUAAUCAAGCUUUGCUGCUCUUAAGUUACUUGAAAGCUGAAGCAGUAGGUUGCAAUUACCAGUAACUGGCUAACUGCUUGACAUAUGUGCAUGAAAAUUCAUUAGGGAUCGCUAUCACCAAUUGCAAGUAUUAGAAAUUGAUCAAUCGCCCUCAAUUUUCCAACAGAAAACAAAAAGAAUACUCACAGCUGUAUUCUGAACAAGUGUCAUCAAAUAUUGCAUCUCUCCUGUUGCCGUUUCUUUAAGGUGAUUCGGAGGUGUAACUUCUGACUCCAGUCUAAAAAUAAGAGCAAGAAACACAAUAAGCUCACAAAAUCUUACUAUGGUACGUAUCUGGCAUUGGGCGAAAAAAAAAGGAUUUACCUUGCAAAAUAACGAUCCAAAUUGUGCCACCGAGGAUCCUUACAAUGAUUACCAAAACGAACCACCUCUCCUGAAAAUACUUUCAACUCUUGCCUGUUCAAUUGACAAUUUGACAUCAGAGCCAAAACCAAUUUUCUUUAAGGAGGAGCAAAAAAUUUAGCAAAAAAAAUCCUUACAAAAAAACAGUUACAACAUUUGAAAUCUUAAAAAAGAUAUUUUUAAGAGGGCAUAUAUAUACACCUUUUGUCAGCUGCAGCAAGCAUUAGGAGCUCACCCAUAUCUUUGGAAACCAAAUUCUGAACACCUUCAGAUCGGAACACUACUUUCAAGUGCUUUACAUUCUGUUCUGAGAGAGACUGCAUGAGAUUGGAACCUUUGACAACUGUAUUGGCGACCUCAAAAGCCAGAAUAGAUAUUCUAUUGCCUUUCUUAGUAACUCCAGAUAUAAAACCACUGUUGGAGUUCAAACUGGUCAUACUGCUACCAAGUGUGUCGAGAACCUCCACUGCCUUCCCGAGUCCAGCUGUACUGGCUCUGCCCAAAAUUGAGCUCACAUCCGAAACCUGCGAUAAAGUAUAUAGCUAUAAAAGAUACUUCUUAUAACAGUUUUAAAACAAAAAAGUUUGGACAAAAAAGGAUGAGAGUGGAAAUUUUUUUCUUUUUUUUUUUUUUCAUUUUGGUUUAAUCUCUACAACCCAGAUGCAGUGUAAUUAUCUCUUCAUUAAUCAGCAAUUCUACAAAGACGUUAAAAGGGUCUUUUGGAGACAAUUGUUCAAUUCCACUGUUUUUUUCGGCUUUUUUAUUGUACAAAAAUUGCUCCCCCCCCCUCCUUUCAGUUCUCUAGUCACUUAUCCCUGUCUAAGUGAUGAAAUAUGACUUUUGUAUUCAUCUUUCCUUUCCCCAACUCCUUUCAAUAGGAACAGGAUGCUAAUUUUGGUUACCAUUUGAUAAACUCGAUGCACAUUAAACUUGAAUAAGCAAAAAAGAAACAUCAUAUCCUAGGACUUCACCAUUGUGUGUCUCUUCAUGUAAAAGUUUUUUUUUUUUUUCUUUUGGGACUAAACAUACAAAGAAUUGGCUUAUUAGAAGAAAACAGUAUAGAAACAAAGCAGAAGGCAGAUAAAAUGGCCCCAUUAGAAAACAGUAUAUUCACAAAUCAGUGAUUUUAGGAGCAAUUUAUGCGCAGCAUCAUAAAAAGUUGUUGCUCCUCUAAAACCAUAAAAAUUUAUUUAACAACAAUUCAUAGUAAAAAGCAUCCAAUCAGUAAAGAAGCAUUCAUCUAUACAAUUUCCAAUUAGUGAGAACAAUGAAGCUGUCCAGGAAAUCACUUGCCUUCGUUUGAUCUGCCGGCUUCGACUUAUUGGUCUUUGAUUUUUGUGACAGAUUCUUCGACAAUUUCCGCUCUUUUGAGGACACUGAACAUGAACUGAGACCCUUCUCACACAAUGUAGAUUCUCCCUUGCAUGGCUUCUUUUCAAUAUCCUCCACAAUUGGAGUGGUCUUAUUUUUGCUCGGCGCCUUCGGAUUGUACUCAAACUGUUUGUGAUCAUUUUCCUCAGAGCCAUUGUCAUCAAAGGAAAGCUCAUUGAGUGAGUUACCUCGAUCAGCACCAAUAGAACAAACCCCACCCAUCCUAAAGAAGUAUCCUCAGAUUUUUUUUUUCUGUUUUUUUUGUUUAUUUGACCCUCAAUUCUUCUUCUUUUCUUCAAUGCUAAUUACAAUGGAACCUGUUAAAACAGGGAGUAAUUGGCGAAUUACGCCGAAAAUUUCAUAAGCUUAUAAAGUGAGAACUCCAAUCCACCCAACACAAACCUGUAAUCAUCAAAAGAACAACAAAAUCGCAAGGAAAAAAGCAAUUUUUAGUAUCGAAAUAAGUAAGCGAAAGAGACCCAAUUCGCCGAAACCAAAAUUGUUUCAUGCAAAAUGCAAAACCGAUAUCCCAAAUCCACAAAUGGGUCGAGGGGGACAAUGUAAAACCCCCAAAAGACCCAAUUUUCGCAGGAUCUAACAUGAAAAAUCGCAAAAGAGAGAGAGGGGGAGGAGGAGGAGGAAGAGAACUAACCUUAGGAGGUGAGAACAAGUCGAAGAAGGGGAAUGGGCGAUUGAUGGGGAUUAAAUGGAGAAAAAAGAGUCAAAGAUUGUAGAAGGGAGAAGAUACGUUGGGAGAGACGAGUCGGGGGAGGGGGAAUAGAGCAAAAUGGUAAAAAAUGAGGGGGCUUUUAAUGUUAAAUGGCUAAAAUACAACGUUGAAGCACCAAAUCCACUAAGAAAAAUAAAAAUAAAAAUAAAAUAUAAUAUAUAUAUAAUUAUUUUUUAAUAUUAAACCCAACUCUCCUCCCGCGUUGACCGUCGACAGAGUUGGAGCCAGUCAAACCCAAACACCAGCCGUGUAUUAGUUCUCAUAAUAUUUUUUUAUGUAACAGUGCAAUAAUUUUUUUUUUUUCACCAAAAAAAUGAAGUAAAUUGAACAUUUAUUUGCUUUAAUUCCAGUACCUUAUGGAAAAUAGUAAAAAAUGUUAAAGAAACACAAUUGCCUUUCCCUCUAAUUAAGUACUUUUAUAUAUUAAUACGGAGACUAGACAUAAGUCUUAAAUUUAAACUUACGUGAGUUCUCCAAUUCUCAAACUCACAAUGGGCACCUAAAUAUCUAGCAUUAGAGUAAUAAUGAUUUGAUCAUUUUCAUUAUUUAGGUUUAGUUUGGUAUUAAGAUCUAUCUAACGUUAUUAGAUAAAAUAGAGUUAGAAUAAAAGCAUAUAGGAAUAUACUUCUGCGUUUUUCGGUGGGAUAGCAAAAAAUAUAUCGAAACUGACUCAUCACAAUAUGCGGAACGCAAUAUUACGUACGGAAACAAAUAUGAUAUUCUUUCAUCGUACUUUCUCAUUCUCCGUAAUUCCAAACGAAACCUAAUCUUUUUUUCGUAAUCUCUCUUAUAUUAUUCUCAGUAAACCAAAAAAUUUCCACCAUGCAUUGAUGAGAUUUAUAGAUUCUUCACACAUGUAGUUGGUGGAUGAGAUGAUUUUCCAUUUACCCUAACUAGAAUAAUCGAUCGGGAAUUUGCAACGCAAGUAAAUGAAAAUUUAGUGUGUGAAUAAUUAAAAAAUGGGUUAUUGAUCCUCCGUCUAAGUGAAAUUGACUAGUGUUAACUUAUAAAAUAAAAAAUAAAAUGAGAAAAACUCAGAUGAUCGAAUUAAUUAAUAUUGCUUGAUCCAUCUAUCCAUUGGCUCGAAUGGCAACACCUAGAACAACUAAUUAAACCACCCUGCAACAAAUCAUCCUGCAAAAUAAUCCUAAAAAGAAAAAAGGUUUUCACGAGGAUCUUCCGAAAUCGAAUUAUACUUUAGAGUUUUGAUCGAACAAGAUUAAUUAUAAAACAAAAUUUUCAUGUUUGCGGCCAUACGAAUCAAAUUAGAAUAUGCUCCUUAAUCAUCCUUUUCAACCCAUAUAAUAAUUUGCUAAGCAUGUACGUGGUUUCAUUCAAACCAUAUGAAACCCUACUUAGUUAAAAUAAUAAGCAGCAAUUUCCCAUCUAAUUCUCAUGGACCAAACAAAUUGAGUAAGAGUUAUUUAUUUAUUUAUUUAUUACAUGGCAUCCUUUUAUUGACCUGUGCAUAUUUGAUUUAUUUGGUUUUUAGUUUUAUAUGUACUAUUUGAGCCGCGUCAUUUUGAUACGGGACUUGAUAUAAGCAUAUGUUAAGAAAUUGCCUCUUACAUGCUCGUUGACCAUCGACUUGGUUGUUCCAGUCAACUUUUUGGCUAAUAAGAAUGACUCGACAGGGGAGAAAAGAAUGAAGCGAAAGUUUUGAGAAUCGUAACAACUUUCAAAAAAAAAAGAAAAAAAGAAAAAGAAGUAGGAACACGUGGAGAAAAAAAUAGCACAAUGUGUAGCACAACAAGUCAACAAGUUAUGAUCACUUUUAUUCUAUUUCUUUUAUUUGCUAAAUAUCAAAUAUUAAAAUACUAUUUUAUGGUAUUUUUUUAAGUUUUUAUGUAAAGUAAUAAAAUUAUUAUAUUCUCUACCGACUACUGGCGUUAUCUUCCGUUUUGUCAAAUCUCGUGUAAGGGAAUAUUAUAUUGUCACUAGUGAGCACCUGUAACAAUCUCUUAAAAUGUUUUGGUUUUUGGAAUAGAUUUAGUAACCCAAUAUUAAUUUUCCUUUUUUAAAAAAGAAAAGUCAUCUCCAACCACUUUAAACUAAUACACAAAUAAUUUAAAACUUUAAUGCGUUUCCACAAAUUAAUUAAUUCCUAAUUUCCGAGAAGCCUCUACGACGGUUGAACAAUCUGAAAAGAAUCACUGAAAGAGAAUUAUUCUCGAGUUACUCUCCAACGUGAUUACUUAAGCACGUCCAUACACUUGCAUUUGUACACCGCUAUUUUGUACGAAAAGUCAAAUAUUAAAAAGAAAACAGGGUUAAAUAAUUCAUGCCCCACGUGUUUAUUUGGUCAACUCUUUUGAGGCUAUGUAUAGAGAUGGUUUAUGAGGACAUGUUAAAGCAUAAGACGCUUAAUUAAUUGCCAAGUGUUUACAGGCUGGUAAUAAUAGGAUUAAAUAAAAAUUAGCCACCGAAUUUAAAUAUAACUUUUAUAGAACAAUUUAUUAAUGCACCCUUCAUCUAAGUCUAUCAAUUAGAGCAACACGCGGAGGACAGGUGGCGAGGUAAAUGCACAGCAAGUUCCACGAGGGGUUAGAUAUUGACCGGAUAGGACCGGAUCUGAGUCAAAUUGAAAAAAAAAAAAAAAACACUCAUUUCAAACGCGGAUCAAUCGAGAAAAGCUAAAGCCCGAGCUCAGCCCAGAUUUUCAGAUCCGGCACGGCACGACCCGGCACAGCACGACCCGUUAAAGCUGAAGCUGAGCAGGUCAGGUCGGGACGGUCACGGAGUUGGGUCUAGAGGAAAAGAAGCCCUCUCAAAGUUUCAUCCCCCAGGUACCAAGCACCAGAAGCAGAAACCCAACAGGCUUAUCUCCACUUGUGUCAAAUAUAGCUGCUGAUGUUUGGAUAUUCUCAUGCUUACGAUAACCUUUACAUAGGCCCUUUUUUCUUUUUUCUUUUUUUAACCUUGAGGUAAUGCUCUCUUCCUGUACCAAGUCAAUGAUUCUCACCUUAAAAAUGUAUAUUUGCAAAUGCUAAGCAUCUUUCCACAAGGAUAAAUAAGAUAUCUAUAAAGCACCAAUCAGAAAUAAUCAGCAGAAGAAAGAUUCAAGAAGUAGUUCACCAAUCAAUACAGUGGAAGAACAAACAACACCUCACUUGUGACAUAGAUAUUCGAAUGUUUACAAAUUCAAAGAAUACCUUCAAAAAAAGAAAACACGUUAGCGCAUUCGUCGACAUCGGAUGAUAUGCAAGGCAAGAAAUAACUGUAGCAUAGAUUAGUAAACCAGAAUUCAGAAAGAUAAUGUUGAUUAAGUAAAAGCAGAACCCUAGGAGAUACUAACAAUGCUUAUCUCGUAAGAUAAUAAUACCAUGAGAAUAUUUAAUACUUGUCAGGAUGCUUCGGCGUAGUGCUGUCAAGUUAUAAUUAGGUGGUGAUAUUUUGGUAAUUCUUGAUAACAACGAGGUAUCUGCUACAAAGAAUUGAUUUAAAUUCUGCAGUAAAGUGAGCAGCGAAAUCCGUCACGAAGGAGCGAACCUCAUUUAUCAGUGAGACUAGGAAAAAGUAGCUGCCUCCUCAAUAUUAAUGUAUAUUACCAUCAUGUGGGCACAACAUUUUCACAGCUCGAGGAUAUCAUAAUCCAAGACUGAAUCAACAAUCGACUUCUGACUUGCCUGCUUUAAGAUUUCUUCUUUAAUAACGAAACAUUUGGCCCUAUGAAAAACAAAUGGACCAAUAAAGUUAGAUUUAUGUAGAUACAAAUACAUGUAUACGGUUAUAACCAAAUUUCAAUAAUUAUUGCAAUGAAAUUCAACUAUUAAUUUCACUAGUUACUGCAAAUCCUGAGGGCUUACUAAACAAAGUUACCUUUCGAGAACAUCUUCCUACUGAUUGGACUUCAACACCAGGUCUUCCAAUUCAUCAGCAAUCGCCGCAUAGCAAAAGAAGUAUUGAUCCUAGAAGCCAUCAGAUUAAUAGAUCAGAAUGAGACUAGUCAUAGGUAUGGGAUAAAAGGGAAACAAAACACUCUGCAUGGAAUUAAUGAUCUCUUGAGUUCAGCAGAUUUGUUAGUAAACUGUCGUUGGGUGGUCCAAAACGUUCCCCAGACAAUCUUCUACAAUGGAAUAAUUAGUAGCCAGCGUCUCUGUAUUCUGAUAGAAUUAGUGCAACAUUAUUGUUGUGGUGAUCAGUCUCAUUGUUCCUUCUAACGUCAGUGUAGAGAAAUAAAGGUUGUUAGACCAGAAAAAUGUUCUAAGAGAAGAUCACAAAUUCAGUACUCAGUAGUGACUGCAAAUAAAUUAGAAAAAUAAUAUUAUUUUUUUCCAUUAGAAUAAUCAUAUUUUUCCUGUUUUACUCUAAUUUCUGAUGUAUCAACACCAUCUACAUUCUAUAGAGCAUAGACAAGUAAAUCUUAAUUAAUUGUUCAACUGAAGCAUAUAAGGACAGGCGUGGGAGUUUGACAUUUUACCAUUGUCUGGACCAUUCCACUGCGCUGAGAUCUAAAAUCAGCAACAGUUUUCACAAGAUCUAAAGAAGACAUGUCACCAAGGAGAAUCCGUUGGAUAGUAUUGUGAAUGGUACAGUAUGUACCAGUUCUUCCAAUACCUGCACUGAGUAAGUGAGAACAUAAACUGCAUUAGAAAGAGAAAAUCACAAACAUUUGUACUAUUGAAUGAAGUAUAAAAGAGAUUUUGAAGCAAACCUGCAGUGAACAACUAUAGGACCGAGAUCUGGGGGGACGUGAUAUAACAUUUUAAAGAUUUCUCGUACAGUUACUGUAUACUCAGGAGUUCCAUGAUCAGGCCAUUCAGGGUACUGGAUAUGGAGAACAGGCAGUGCAGGCUCUCCUGACUGUAGUAAAGAAUUAGAUAGAUAAACAUGAUUAAAAAAAAAAAAAAGCGAAGUUAACAAUCAUAGAGACUGAUCCUGCUAAAAGCAGGAGUACAACGAACAAAACCUAUUAAUCUAUAUACCUACACAAGGCCGACAUAGAAACACAAGCGCACUGAUAUAUAUGCCCACUCAAGCAGACACACACAAGUAAGAGAAUGAAGGAAAAGGACAUGUAGGAGGAUGGAUGUCACACAAAGGAGAAGGACAUAAAGUGCUGAUGCGCUUAAGUGUCUGAUGAGCAUCCAUUUUGAAAGCUUACUUAAAUCGUGGCAGUCUUCACUAAAAAGAAACAUGUUUAUUGCAAAGUUUGAAGUUUCUUUGUACUUCAAAGUCAUUACUUUAAAUAUCUUUACCUCUUUCUAUGCAUUUAAAUAGCUUUACUUCUUAUGGACCAACAAAUAUGGCCUUAUCUAGUCUAGAAAUAAUAGGUUGUUAUAGUCAUAAUGUUGUUAAGUAAUAUUCAUCAUCGAAGGCACAAGAAGAACCCAAAUAAGAGUGCCAGGUAAGUAGUCCGUGCUUUAGCACAUUUGAGAUUCUAAUGCAAAAUGUCAUUGAAAACCUAUACCUCUGUGCAUACAUCGUCAGAUAAUCAGCGUACGCAAAAUGUCAUUGAAAACCUAUACUUCUGUGCAUACAUCAUUAGAUAAUCAGCAUGUCAAAUCACAAUCCAACACCAAAAAAUCUGACCUAUCCAAUUAUCGGCUUAUCAGAGUUCUGGUUUUCAUUUAUACAAUCAAAGAGUAAUUGAUCAACAACAUCAAUCAAAAGUAAUGAUCACAAAGGAAGUCAUAUGGUGUCACAAAGUGGCAAUUGCUUGCGGUUAACCCUUCUUUACAUCAAUCCAUGAUUUCAUAAGUGUUUCAUGUAUCCCACAAUUCUUGAAUCUAUAAUGACAAAGAAAAAGGAAAAAGGAAAAAAACGAUUAUCCUAGUGUCAGGAUGAGUUAACAAGUAGAUACACCAAUUCUAUUGCAGCUACCAAAAGUAAUUCUUCUACCGGAAGAAUGGUCGGUCACUUGCAAAAAUUGACUGCAUUUUCUAGUAUGGUUUUGGAGGGUAAGCCUACCAUAUACGAAUUGUGUACACUUCACAUCUUACUAGGAGGAAGAACGAAGCAAGGCAUGAAGAUCAAACAACAGCUCUGGAUGUAUAUAGAUAAUUAAAAGAUGAAAUGUUAAAAUUAGAUUCCUUUACCUCCUUGCGUUGAACCUCCAAACAACGGAGCACUAAUGAAGAGGAAGUCACUUUAGUAGUCUUGGCCAGAACAUUUACUGUUCCAAAUUCUCUUAACCCAUUCUCUACUUGGAUAUAAUCGGCACAUUUUCCCAUCAUCUGCCAUUAUUUGCAUAUAAGAUACUGUUAUAAUUGCAGGAAUUUUAUAGAGGGAAUUGCUGAAAUUAUAUUAUCACUAAAAGGAUGAUUGAUACAACAAAAAGAUGUCACCAUUUCUAUGAUAAAAAAUUGCAAUUUAGAUGCAAUUCAAGCACCUUUGGAUUGUCAAAGAGAGUAAGCAUAACAAUCGCAGGGCAGUGAUAUUGGAUGAUCAUCUCCCAGAAAUCUUCAAAUGUCUCAGGAAGUGGACCCUGGGCUGCAAUAAACUGUGAAACCUUCCCAGUGGAACCACUCUGCAUUUCAGGCGUAGCAAUCAUAAGAAAGACGUAAAUGAAAUGCAUGCAACAGACAGCAAAUAGUUUGCUAUACUGUCAAAGCCUGAACAACCAAUGUGAGUUUACCGUAACAAAGCUUGCAUUGAUGUAGCCAUCCCCCACAGAUCUGUUGUCUUUUGUUGAAUUAAGUAUUACCCGGGCAUUGUCAACUAAGAAAUGGAACAAAAAAUAAAGUUAAUCAUACCCAUUUACAAAACAUGCCUCUAAAGUACACAUUGGCGCGCGCGCGCGCGCAGAGAGAGAGAGAGAGAGAGAGAGAGAGAGAGAGAGAGAGAGAUCUUCUAUACUCAUCUCAUCGAAAAAAAAGAAAUAUUUAGUGUAGUGAAAAUUACACGGCAAGACGUCUAUAUAGCGGUUUUUGUCCAAGUUGGCAUUUUCAAGAGCAACAGUACACCUUCUUAUAGUCUCAUCCCUUGUUAGCCUCAUGGCCUGUAGAUCAGAAACGUGUUCAUCCAAUCAUAUUAACCAUUAAGGAAAGUAGAAACAGACUGCAUAAUUAUCAUGGCCAACACAGAUUUAUUAAGCAAGAAAUAUAUUGAUCCAAAACUUGGCCAUUUUUUUUGAGGCAAUUAGAGCUAUAGUUUUACAAGUAAUCCCACCCAAAAAAAAAACAAAAAAACAAAAAGAGGACGAUUGGAUUAGGUAACUCAGCAUUCUAGCAUGAAAAUUCUCUGGGAAUUAUUAUAAGGAUCGAUACGAGGGAAAUGUGAAUAUAAAAAGAGUGAAGGCAUAAUCAAGAUUGGUAUUUCUGUUUUUGGAUGCUGAGUUUGUGGGAGAAAUAGCAGCCCUUCAAUGAACUAAGAUAGAGCAAACCAGCCUACAAAUUCUGGAGGAUUACACAUUGAUAAUACUUUAUGGUGCUCCAAAUAAGCCAUCUACAAUCAGAAAAUAUCAGCUUUAAGGAGAAAUGUUCCACUAUAUAUGCAAAGCAGGAAAAAAGGCCCAUACGCACCUGAACUUUGACCCAAUUGCAGAUCAUCUAGUGUCUAAAGAAUUUCAAUUUACUGCAGUUUGUUUCAAUCUAUCACGAAGCCAUAAUCUUCUACCAAGUGUUCUAACGACCGUCAGCAUUUGACUGCCACGUGAGGGACAGAAUACUUCUAAAACUUUUCAAGUCUACCAGCACCAAAGUUUUAAAGUUUGAGCGGUGAUUCAUAAGUUCGGUAUCUCACAUAUUUUUCACACUGUCGUGCUUCGAAACUUGACAGAUAUUCAUGCAAGAUGGUUAAUUGAAACAUACUAAUUGCUCACAAACAAAAUUUCAAAUUUUUGUGUCGAUUUACAAUCCUGUAGCUUUUUUCUCAUAUAAAAUGACAUUAAACUUCCAUUUAACUCAAAAUGAACGUAACUGGAACCUCGAUUCUUCCACAGAGAUAUAAGCAACACAAAUCAAAUUAAAACUUGGGUAAGCUGAGUAAAAUUAGGAGAAUAAAGGAAUCAUAGGUCCGCAAAGCGACCUGAAGCUUGUCGAAUUCCUGGGCGAUCUUCGAGCGAUUUCGGAGCUCCUUCCUGAAGAAGGCGAGGGCUUCGGAGCAGUACUUCAGCUGGUCACGCGAAAGGCGGAGCGGCGGCGGAUCACGGGCGAGGUCGUGCGGGUUGAAGGCGCCACCCCCGGCGAGGGAGGAGGAGGGCGAGGCCGCGCCCGCGCCCUUGGAUGCUGCGGCCAUCGCCGAUCUGCGUCCGCCGCCGCCGCCGCGCCCCGUCGAGUUCCCCGUCGCUUCGGGAUCACGCUUGCGCUCUCUCUCUCUCUCUCUCUCUCUGCUUUAUCUUUCUCGGGAGCGAGACGAGCGUGGAUCGACCCGCACUCACGGGCGCGGAGGGCCUCUUUAUUGAGGUCUCGGGCACCCACUAGAUUUUAAACACUUGGCUCGAUUCGGUCUAUACGCCCCCCCCCCCCAACUAAUUUAUUUUUAAAAAAAUAAACGAAGCGGAUAAUAUACAUCUUUCUCUUUUAAAAAAAAAUGGGUGGAGAUAAUUCCAAAUUUGAGAUUGAUGCUGUGAAUGGAGUAAUUUUAUAUUUUUGCAAAUUCUUUGUUUAAUUAAAUUAAAUUGGUUAAAAUAUAAUACAUAUUUAAAUUACAGUUGUAUUAUUAAUAUCUAAAAUUAUAAUAAUUUUUUAAAUAACUAUUUUUUAAUUUAUUUAUAUUAUAAUAUAUAUUUUAGUUGUAGCACAUUGUAUCGCAUUUAGUCUUAUUUUUCUUUAACGGACUGAUCUGAUUAUUUACCUGCUAUAUUACCUCAAAUUUAUAACUUAGCUAUAUUUUAUCUUGUACAUUAGGUUUACGGUUUACCCAAUUUUUAACUCUAUUUUUAUUUUUAUAUGAUUGACUUCUGCACUCGGUCCACGCAAAAUACUCUUUCUAAUAUUUCGGACCCAUCGGCUGUGCGCAUUUGGUCCGAACCGUGCUACAUGCAUCUUGCAAUCGCAGCCGUCCAAUUCCGGCCGCAGUAUAAACAAUCGGAUCGUAGCCCGAUCCGCAUUAGAGCGUCUUUCCCAUCUCGCGAAUCACUUUACCGCCAAGAAUCCCGUUCGAGGGCUUUCCCCUCCCACUCCUCCCAAACCCUCGCAUUCCCGAGAACAAUCGAGAGAGAUCGAGAGAGGAAGUAGAAGAGAUGAUGGAAGCGCCCUCGUUCGCACUCGACGAUGGCGACGACGUACGCCUCGCCCCCUCUUUCUCCAUGAUCUACUUCUUCGUUCUCUCUAUCCUCCUCUUCAUCUUCCUCUUUUUCCCACUCCCUCACCCGCUUCUUUAUCCGCAGGAUUUCGAUUGGGAUGCGGCAGUGAGGGAGAUCGACUCCGCGUGCCGAGUCGCGUCGACGUCGACCUCCGAUCGACAAGGUUUCGCCGCGCCUCCCGCAGCGUCGUCGUCGGCUCCCGAGUCUCGCCCUAAACCGGCGAAGAUCAACGGCAAGGCGCGGCAGUUGACUCUCGAGCGAUUUGUGGAUUCGUUCACUAAGCGCAAGAAGAUAGGCGAUGGCCCGUUCGGUUCUCGCAUUUGGGAAAGAGAUGCGCCUGUUGAUCAGGGGAAAGAGGGGAAUCCUGGGGCAGGGGAUGAACCGCCUGCUGUUAGAAUUGAUCUAGAAGCAGCAAAGACAUGGAUUUAUCCAGGUAAGGACUCCGAGCUCUUUUUAAUUUUGAGUUCAUCCCAUUAUUAUAUUGAAAUGUUAACGAUUCGAAAAAUGCAAACCUGUUUCUACUCUUUUAGAUCUGUUAUAUUAUUUAUCUUUAAGUUCUUUCCAGCAGAAGCAACAGGAUUAAAAAAAAAAAAAGUUCAUGUGAAACUUUUUACGGGAAUUAGCAAAACAAGGUUACCACAGAAAAUUAGAAAGAGAGAAGAGAAAUAUGCUAGGUUAGAUUGGUGACCGGGACAAAGGGUUCACAUCAGAGAGAGAGAAAAUUGUAAAUACCAGGAUUAGAAUGUUACUGGUAAGAAGUUUCAAAAUGUAUGAUUCUUGUUGAAUGGCUAUGUAGGAAAAAUGAAUAUUCCUGAAUGAGGACUCAAGAUUUCUCUUUGAGAUAGUUAGUGGGGAGGUUAAUAAAUUAAAACAAAUGUUCUAGUUAUGCCAACUGUAAUAUUUAUUGGCUGCCUCGAAUCUGGAUUAGAUUUUAGUCAAAUUGCAUCUUCUUUUUCAAGAGCUGCACUUAAGAGGCACAUUGUUGCAAUGCAAACUGAACUUGGUAUUUCCAUCAGGCAUCAUCACAUGCUUCCACAGAGUAUAGUUGUCGCAUAGAAAUUAUGAUAAACUUUGUUCUUUCUUCCAAAAAUACAGUUAUAAUAUAUGGUCUAAUGCAAAUGAUUUUUUCCCACAUGCUACAGUUAAUGUACCUCUGCGAGAUUACCAACUGUCUAUUGCUAGGAGUGCGCUGUUUUCAAAUACACUUGUGGCGUUGCCAACCGGACUUGGCAAAACACUUAUUGCAGCUGUUGUGAUGUAUAACUAUUUUAGAUGGUUUCCCGAAGGUAAUUUUCUGUGCAAUGCUGUUACUUUUAUAACGCAUUAUCUUCUGCUAUUGCAACUCUUUUUGGAAUGAAUUGAAAAUAUCAUCUCCAUCCUCAGUUGAUUCUCAUAAUGCUCUAAAUGAUAUUUCAAGCCAGAUUAUAUUUUCAAAGUUCAGCAAAAGACAUUUCUGAAUAUAACAGCAAAUUAUGUUUUUAUGGCUAACGAUGACUAUUCUUCAUUUUCUAUAACUUGAAAUUUUGAAUCAUACAUCUGUUUUCUAGGCUGAUAAUACAUAUAGGUAGUUCCUGUGCAUGUUUUUUUUCAUAUGUAUAUUUCUUUUCUAUUAAAUUUGUCAUUUCUUUUUGGUUGAUCACGUCACUUGUAAUUGUGCUUCUUUCUUGCACUUCUUUCUAAAUUUCCGUCAAGUUUUUAGUAUUGAACAAGUAGGGUUUUCAAACCUUAAAUCUAAAAUUUAAACAGAUGGUUGAUGCACUUGGUGACCAGUAGAGAUUGGAUAUUAGGUGAAUAUGAUAAGGUCUGAAUUUUAUGUUAAAGGAACUGAUUGGCCUAUAUGACACUAAUUUAUAAUUUAACUAUGCUAGUGUUUCAAUAUAUGUAACAAAUCAUUUUGUAGCUUUCAUAAUACACCUUCAGUAUGGCAAAGAUGGCAACAUUAUGUUUCGCCACUUUGAAGUCUAUGCUGAUCGCAGAAGCAUUUGUAAUGUUGUACUAUAAAAGUUGUUUUCUUUGACUCUUGGACAACUUAGUUAUAAGUCUCGUUCUCCCCAUUCAAGCGGUCGCUACUCUCUUUAAGAAUUUUAUUCUCUUCGGGACAUUUGAUUGCAAGUUUUUCACAUCAAAGCUAGGGGGUUAUUUAAAAUCUUAUCCAUCAGUAUAAACAAAUUCUAUGUUGGUACUCCUUGGUUGAAAAUUUUUCAGGUAAAAUAGUAUUUGCUGCCCCCUCACGUCCUCUUGUUAUGCAACAGAUUGAGGCAUGCCACAAUAUUGUCGGAAUACCACAGGUAUUAUUCCUUCAUUUUUCCCCCCUUUUUAACCUUUUAUUUUCUUUGCAUGUAUGAACUUAACCAUGCAAAUACUCCAUCUAGAAGAGUGAUGUUCUCAUGAUCUUUUACAUAAGUGUUGAGAAAAAUGAGAUCGAACUGAUUGCAGGAAUGGACAAUUGAUAUGACAGGUCAGAUGAGUCCUUCUAAGAGAUCCACAUUUUGGAAGUCCAAAAGAGUUUUCUUUGUUACUCCUCAAGUAUUGGAAAAAGAUAUACAAUCUGGUAAUUACUUGGUUUUACUUUAAUUGUAAUCUAUUGGUAGUUCUGCUGGCAACAUGGUUACAUCGUUCUUCACUUCUUCUCUAUGCAUUUCUUGAUGCUGACCAAAAUUAGGAAAUACAAACAAGGCUAAACAGUUAGUUGCUAAAAGCAAUCUAAUUGACCAACCAUUAGUUGGCUUUGAGAUGUGCUAUAUCCUAACAAUUGAGUGGUUGAUCAAUCAGUCAGCUUAUUCUGGUUUCUGAUCUAUGAAAGUUUAUUAGAUGGAAGCACUUGUUUCUUUUAUGAUUCUCUUACUACUGCUGAUUCUUUACAGGGAUCUCUAUGAAGACCAUUUUUAGUUCUUUGUUGGUCCAGAGGUCAAGAGAUGCCAAUUGAUUUUUAUUCUUGAAUUAGAAUAUUUUUGUUGGAGCUUAUGGAGAUAGAAAUACUUGUCUUUUUCUUCUUCUUUUUCCUCUUCAUUGUCUUCAUUGUCCUCUUUGUCUUUGUCUUCAUUUUCUUAGUCUGCAUGGACAUCAACAUAUGCACAUCAUCCGUCAGGCUAAGUUUAUAAUAUCUUUUUAGGAAAAAGAGAAGGGUCGAAAGUUUAUAUGGUUUUAUGGAUGUUAUCCCAUUUUGAUAAUUUAAUGCAUGAUUUCCCCGAAACUGACCCACGGCACAGCGCCCAUUCGCUUUGCGCGCGGGAAGGCAACGAAGUUCAGUUCAAGAGACCGCAGCGGAGUGUAAGUGGAGAGGUGGCACAUUCCUUUCCAUACACUUGUCAAUUCCGCACUGCUGCUGAGUCGUCGGACUUAUCCACCUCAGGGAUUCGUGGAAUUUCCGUUUUUGAAUUGCGUUGGGGGAAAUCUACCAAAGCUAGGCAGAUAGAUAGACUCCUUUCCCGCUGCUAAGGGAGAGCAAGAAAAAAUAUAAAAUUCUUGUUUUUUUCACCAGCGCCCUCUGAAGUCAAAGUCAGGGUUACAUCGAGUGAGAAAGCAGCAUUUUCAAAAUGAAAAGUAGGGCUUGAGGGCAUUUCGAGUAAUUUGAUAACUUAUUUCCUGUCUAUAUGAGAGUUGCCAACUCCGGUUGGCAUGCAUGAAGCAACCUAUACUGUGGCUCCAUACCCAGAGGGAAUGGAGCAGGAAAGGUUGCUUCCCCAACGGCCACGUAGGGGGAUACGUGGCCUAUUCCCAGUGGUAGGUUCAAGUUCAGUUUUGAACCUACCUAAGGAGCUUAACACGUGCAAGCGACAUUUCCAACAAUCAACUUCCCACUUGGGAUGGACGAGAGACCUACGACCGGAGACCUACGGAUCAAGCUCUUCUCCUUCGGAACUUGGACAUCAGCUUUAAGUUACACUUUUUAUUUUUAGUCAGAAGUGAACUUUAGGUAAGAAAGUAGUCCCGUAGAAAAUUCAUAAAACAUGCAUAUCCCAUAACCUGAGGGGACUGAUUUCUCCGUCGGCGAGGCCUAUGCGGCGGGGGACCAUUCGGUCUCCCUCGCAGGUUGCUACGCCGGUAUAUUCUCAGUCAGCGAGGCCUAUGCGGCGGGGGACCAUUUGGUCUCCCUCGCCAGUUGCUACGCCGGUAUAUUCUCGGUCGGCGAAGCCUAGUUUUAUCGUAUUUCGUCUCCGAAAGGGCAUAGCCCAACUUCUGGAGAGACAAAACAAUUCUUGUAUCCUUGUCAAGCAUGAUAAGUGGCCUUCAUCUAAAUAUUGAAUGUUCACUGAUUUUCUAAUUAUAUACAUACCAUGACAAUUUCUGCUCUCUUGGUGCUUAAACUAUUUUAUCAGACUUGCGAUUUGACCAGGUUGUGCACUUUCUUUUCAGUUCUAUGUGUAGUUUAACCUUUGGCGGACGUGUUUCAUAAAUCUUAUUCUUGCAAGCUUUUCUCUAAUUCAAUAUUUUGAAUUUCUGGUAUUUGUCAGGAAUAUGUUUAGUAAGACAACUUGUUUGUUUGGUGAUCGAUGAAGCUCAUCGUGCUUUGGGAAAUUAUUCUUACUGCGUUGCAGUUCGUGAGGUUUGUUUCUAUUACAGUCGUUAGCACAGAACUCAAUAUACUUUGUUUCCUACUAUGCAAAUCCUAUUUCUUCUCCACUUCAGUUCAUAUGCUAUUGUUUUAAUGAUGAUGCUACUGUGCCAGGUGUUUACUUCCUUUUUUUUCGCAGUAGAAACAUGCUCUAAUUUGCGUACUUGUUGGAUAAUUUGUUGCAUAUGCAGUUGAUGGCCAUUCCCGUACAGUUAAGGAUUUUAGCAUUGACUGCAACACCAGGAUGUAAGUCUUAAGAUGCAAAAUACCAGCCAGGUUAUGCAAUUCUUGUACCCUUACUGUGCACUUUGUCAUUCAGCAAAACAGCAAACAAUCCAGAAUGUCAUUGACAACUUGUGCAUUUCAACCUUGGAAUAUCGUAAUGAAAGUGAUCAUGAUGUCAGCCCAUAUGUGCACAAUAGGCAACUUGAAGUGAUACAGGUACAUGCAGGAUUGUUAUGGAUAUUGUCUGUCAUAUGGUGCAACUAAAUUUAAUUGCAAAAUGGCAGGUCUCUAUGGGUGAUGAUGCGAUUGCUAUCAAUAAUCUGCUGUUGGAAGUUAUACGGCCUUAUGUGGCUCGAUUAUGUGCCAUUGGGGUACUCCAUAACAGGGACUCUGCAACAGUAUGUCACAGCCCUUUUUCUGUUUGUUUAUAUUUAUAUGUGUUCUUUCUAUAGGCUGGUCAAUGUGGAUUAUAAAACCAGUCGAAUGUGCCUUCAAUGUUGUGUUAAGGAGCUAAGUCACUUCUUGCAUGGUGGAGAGUUUACUGAAUUGUGGAUGUUUUUAUACCACCGGUUGAAUAUAAUAUUGGAAGUGCUCAGGUUGUCAACAAAAUUUUUUCUAGAUUGUAUUAUUCUUGCAAACUUGAUACACACAUGAAUCUUCAGUAUCUAAAGAUAAUGCCUGUUUAUGGGAAAAAAUGACAGUGGAAUACUUUGAACAAUUUGUCAAAAACUCUGUAGAAAAAGUCCUCAUUUAUCUUUCACUAGACCAUCAAGGCUUAAAUGCAACCUUAUCACAGUACGCAGAUGAAGCACGUUGUUAUAUUUUCUUACCAUAAUGAAAUAUCAAUAUUACCAUUUAGCAGGUAUUAAGCUAGUAAAUAACAAUUUGCGAGUUCCUCAUUUUAUUUAUUUCAAGAGGAGUGUGUGUAGGGGUAGGGGCGGCGGUGGUGGUUGUGGAGCAGUGGAGCUUGGAGGUUAUUCCAAAUUUCGGAAUAUGUGCUCUGAAUUUUGAAGCUAAUGAUAUCUGAUCUACAGCAUCAUCGCGACUCAAUGACUCUUAAUUAUUUGUUUCUUUAUCACUUUAUCACUUCAUGUAUUGCAGAAGAUCACACUACUUACCAAGUUUUUUAUCUUUUCAUUUAUUCACAUUUCUUGUGCUGAUUGUGCACUAUUUCAUUACUUCUUAUUGCUAGUUGAGCCCGUGUGAGUUACUGAAUUCAAGGGAUAAAUUUCGGCAAGCACCUCCAUCAAAUCUUCCUCACACAAAAUAUGGAGAAGUUGAAGGGUGUUUUGGAGUUCUUAUCACCCUUUACCACGUAAGGAAGUUACUUUCUAGCCAUGGUAUCAGGCCAGCAUAUGAAAUGCUUCAAGAAAAGUUGAAACAAGGGUACUUUUUUUCAUGUGCUUUCUAUAGGAAAUUUUGCCAAUCCAGUUAUUUGUACACUGUUUUUGCUAUCUGUUUUCUUCUCAUGCCAGCCUUUCAUAUAAAUCAUACUAUGCGUUGCCAUAAAGCUACUUGCUAUCUUAUAAGCACUGGAACAAUAUGUUCAAUGCAAGUCUCUUUCCAUAAUGUGUACCAAUCCCAUGUAGAGGCCUAGCUUUGUAGGCAACUCAUUCAUUUUUCAGGCCCAACCUCGUAUGCAUCUUUACAUAGUGUGGCGUCUUUCUGCUUUGCCUUGUGAGACUUCUCACUAGUUUAUGAUUUGACUUAUUAUUUUUAAUCAUACCUUGCAAGUCUCUCUUGGCGAGGAAGCAUAAGUGGGCAAUCACACAUUUUUCCUGCUUUCAAUUUGAUAAAUCAAUAUCUUUUGGAGAUGGAAAGACCUCUGUAUAGUUUUCAUCAGAUGCCUGUGCAAUUUAUUAAUGUCAGUUUGAGAUAGUACGCGUCCUCAGUAACUUAACAAUAAGAAGGGUAGCAGUUCUUGAUGACGUCGCACAAAUUCAGCUAUUCGUUGUCAGUGGCAACUUAACCUUACCAAUGGUUUUAUGUGUUUGAAAAUUUUCUUGAUGACAGCCCUUGAUUUGCAUAUUCUUUUUCCUCUAGUGAAUUUGCUUUUGUUGACCUUUGAGCUGGUUUCUGUGAAGGUCAUUUUCAAGGCUAAUGUCAAGAAAUGAAACCAUGUGGAAAGCAAAGCUUUUGAUGCAACAAAACUUGUCUGUUGGUGCUCCAAAUCCAAAACUAAUGAAAAUGACAGAAGUUCUGAUUGAUCAUUUCAGUAUGUGGAUUUCUAGUUCAAUCUUCAUUAAUAUUAUUUGUGCAUUUGUAUACUUUUGGAGUAAUACAUUUAUGUACAUGCUUAAUUUAAGCGAGCAUUUUGUAACAGUAUAAUUUGCCUGAUUCUAUUAUUUUAUCUUCUUAUAUCUUUUUGUGCUCUUAAUACUUGGUAUUAAUUGGGUUCCCUUGUAAAUUAUUGCAACUCUGAAAUCCUUCACUUUUUUUGCCCAGUGCAAAAAUAACAUUUAGCUUUUGUGAUCAUUUUUAGCCACUCAUUCAAUUUUGAAUGGAUGGUCAAUUUUGCGUAUGCACAUUAUAUAUACUUGUCACAUUUUGUAGACACUACGGCUGAGCUUAGGUUAUACUGAGCUAAGCUUGAGCCUUGUAGCCCUUGCCUGAAAUCUUUGGGCAUCAAAUAUAUCAGCCAAGGCACAACAUGAAGCCUGCACCAGAAGGCUCACACAGAAACCAAUUUUGGCUUGGUCUGAGCCUGUAUUUCAACCGUAGAUCUUUACCGGAUAUAGAAAGUCAAGCCAGAGCUUUUCUAAUCUCCAUUUCUUCUUUUAUGUUGCUGGUUUUCUACAAGUGUAAUAUUUGUUUGUCCUGGUGCAGGAAAAAAAGAUCCCAAGGACUCCAGGGUUAUCAUCUUUUCCAAUUUUAGGGGCAGUGUCAAGUAAGAAGUUUUCUUAUCAAAAUUUUGCUUUUUCCGAAACUUAGUGCUUUUUUUCUUCAUAGUUGUUAUCUCUAUUGUGAUCUGUCAGUUUAAAUAAUGUGACGUACUUUUUUGCUGUAACUUGCGUGACAUUAGUACAUAUUGAAAGAUCAGGUGUGUUGACGGUGUAUGAAGGUACUAAAACUUUUUGCCAUUUAGAUGACCUCAUGAAGUACUUCUACCAUUCUACGGAGAGUUGCAUGACAUUAGUAUAAAGCAGGCACAGCUUUUACCACUAAUUAGUUUGGAUGACGAUAUAUUUUGCAACUGCAUUAUUGAUUUUUUAAGAAUAAAGUUACUUUCCGCUGUAAAGUUGCACUUUUGGAACUUAGCAUAUAUACCUCACUGUUAACAUUAGGUUGACAUAUGGUAAAACCAAUCCACUAACUUUUUCCAUGGCUUCAAGUUUUAAUAUACUGCUGUUGGCAUUCAGAGGCUCUAAUUGUUUUUUCCCCCAUUCUUUUGUGGUCUAAACAACAUGAAAGUCCACAUACUUUAUCUGAUAUAAAACUUAAAAUCUGGUGCUUGAUUUCCUCUAUAUUGCCUUUAUUGGAAAAACAACUCCAUAGCAAGCAUUUAUUUGUCUUUUUUUUCCUUUAGGAAUAAAAUACAGUGUGUUCCCAGAUGCAUUGUGAUAUCUGACUUCAAGUAUUUAACCAAAGUUGAGAUACAGUCGUUGGUUUCUUCCAUUGCCUCUACUGGCAAACAACUCUCCCUUUGAUUAAUGCCUAUUCAUCCCCAUUCCUUUAUCUGCUUCUUCGCUGAAUUAAUUGGUAGGAUUGACUUAUGACUUCAAAUUAUCUCAGAGAUAUCAUGAAUUCGUUGGCAAAUGUUGGUGGCGACCUGAUUAAAGCAACUGAGUUCAUUGGUCAAAGUUCAGGUUUGUUAGUAUCUUUUUGCUUGUGUGCUUUAUUUUAUUUUAAAAAAACAUGCAUAAAAACUAGGAUCUAGCGUCUGGGCAGUUUCUUCUAUCGGUAUCUGUUUUUUGUACUUUAGUAAUUUGAAAAUGAGCAAGGUAAAGAUUCUCAGAUGCGUGCAUAGGACACGCUUUUAUGUGUUCUCUAUUUUCAAUAUGUCCUAUUCUGACAAUAUGGCCCUCUAAAGGCUAGAACAAUUAAGCUUUAGGAGUAUCUUCACAUUGAAAGAAUUUAUGGAUAAUAAAUAACAUUUGUACAUCUGAAGAUAUAGCAGGCACUUCUAUUAUCCAUUCAUGCAGGAAAUGCUUACUACUAAAGUACUAAUUUUCUUUUAUUAGUUUAUUUUGCCAAAGCAUUCUCUCAUUUGUCAAGUUGGUUUGACAGAAGGCAUGGAUGCAUUCUUGUAUAUGACAUUGUAUAACUUGCUAGAGUUCUUGAAAUUGCUUGACCUUCUGCAGGUAAAACGUUAAAAGGGCAAACACAGAAGGUGCAACAAGCUGUUUUACAGGUAUGCAAAUAUUCUGCUUGAUAUUUGCAAUACAUACAGCGAAUUUUCAGCUUGACUUUCAAUUUCUCCACAGAAGUUCCGAACUGGCGGGUACAAUGUGAUUGUUGCCACAUCAAUUGGUGAGGAAGGCCUGGAUAUUAUGGAAGUUGAUCUUGUGAUUUGUUUUGAUGCCAAUGUCUCUCCUUUAAGAAUGAUCCAGCGCAUGGGAAGGACAGGAAGGAAGCACGAUGGCCGAGUUGAUAUCCUUUUCUAAUGCCACAAUUCAUUCAUUUUCUUAAUAUUCUUGCUUAAAAUGUUCCCUUAACUGUUAACACUGGUUCUAGCUUGUGAAGGGUCCGAGCUGAAAGGAUACUUAAAAAAGCAGGCAAGCAGCAAGUCUAUUAGGAAGCAUAUGAAUAAUGGUGGACUCAAGAGCUUUGAUUUCCAUGCUAGUCCUAGAAUGGUAAGACUAUUUGACUUGUCAUUUGUACUUUACCAUAAUUAUCUGCUCCCUAUCUUUCCAGAGCCAACCAUAAAUAUUCUUCACAGAUUCCACACAUAUGCAAACCAGAGGUUCAGUUUGUUGAACUAUCAAUAGAGCAAUUCAUUCCUCGUGGAAAGAAAGUGAAAACUGAUGCAUCAGAUAAACCACCACUUCUGAAGAACAUUUCAGACACAGAGAAUAAGUUAAUUUCUAAGUACUUCCAUCAUGCAUGGAAACCAUCUCUUAUUGCUUUUCCCAGUUUCCAGACUUUCCCAUGUUGUGUACACAAUGUCCAGCACUCGUUCAGAACAACAGCUAUGUUGAUUGAUGCCAUGCAACAGCUUCAAGGGCUAUCAUUUUCUAAAACUAUGAAUGAUCCUUCUCCAGCUCGAUCACCCGGUCAGCUUUCUAAACUUAUGGUUAUUUUCCAUUACAGUCAUCACUGUAGUCAUUGUCAUAAUGAAAAUGCAAUAGCUAGGGCACUGUUGGAAUUAUUAGUUUCCGAUAUUAGACUAUGGAAUCUUAAUUUCAAAACCAACUCAAAGGUGGGUUCUUUUUGAAGUGUCAAAGGUAGGAUUUAAUUGAGAGAGGUCCUGAUCGUUUGGGGUUUAUGAGAACCAAUUAGAGGGUUGGGUAAUCUCUUGUAAGGCUACAUUAACACCAUUAGAUUUUCAUGGUUGGAGGUUGAAUCUUUGGAAGAAAAGCCUUUGAUAAAGGUUUUGAGUGAGAAUACUUGAUAUCUGAGUGAAGUAUUUUCUUUUUCUUUCUUUUUUUUUUUGUUUUUUCCCUUCUUUCAGUUCUUGGAAAUUAUUGUAGUGGUAAGGUAUAUAUAUAUAUAUAUAUAUAUAUAUANUAUAUAUAUAUAUAUAUAUAUAUAUAUAUAUAUAUAUACCUUCGUUCUAGUUAGCAACUAAGUUAUUAGAAGGCAAAAAAAUUUUACACAAUCAGUACUUGACACCAAAAUGCAUUUGCAGAUCUCCCUGGUGAUAACAAUGUUUGGGAAAAACAGCCUCAGGAGAAAGUUGGUCAGGUUGAAGUAUUCUCUAGAGAGGUUUUGGAAUGUGAAAGUGGCCUUUGUAUGCCUGAUGCUGUGGCUCAGAAGCCUAGUGCUCAUUGUUUUUUAUUCGGUGGAGAUUUUGUGAGCGUGAGUGCCAUAGGCUGUGUUUCCGUUGCAUUUGUACCUUCCCUUCCACUAAAACUAUCUGAAAUCCCAAAGGUCGCAACAGCUGAAAGUGAUAAAGAACUUCAAAGCAACUUGAGGAAAAAGGUUACUUCUUGGAAAGCUGCUGAAGCACACAAUAAUAGGUCAACUACUGAGGUUGAACAAUCUGUAGAAGUUGAAGGCUCAUCAAAAUCAAAGAGCAUGGACAAUGAACAGAAUUUAACAUCAUAUUCACCAGAAUUUUCUGGGCAUAAUGAGCACAGUAAGUUUGUGCUUGAAACACCGGUGUGUAAAGCGAUCACACAUGUUGAGGACAGCACUGGAACACCUGGGAAAGUGGAAAUUAUGGAUCUAGCUUUGGUAGGUGGUGAAUCAAGAAAAAGUAUUGGAGAUAUGGAGCUUAGUCCUAGACUUACUCAUUAUAUAGAAGAAGGUAUUGUUCCUGAGUCUCCCAUGGUAAAAGUUAGCCAUUGUCCACUCAAAGUCAAGAGUAUUAUGAAGUCUGCCAGCCUGCCAUUGGAGAAUAACACGGAUAAACGUGGAAUGCAUCACAUCCAAGAUAGUGUACAUGACACUGAAAGAAAUGUGGAUGUGCUUGUCUCUCCUUUAGAUGGGAAAUUAGAAACUCCUUUGGCAAAUCCAAGGAACAAUAGCUCCAGUGAAGGCUGGCAGUUGAGCUCUGGAGGUGCCUCGCGAUCAGUCCAGCGAGCACCUAAGUUUAAAAGAUUGUGCAAAUAUGGAGAGAAGAUCAAACGGCUCUCUUGCAGGAAUUUGGAGGAAAAAUAUGAUAAGCGUGUACAAAAGAGCCAUCGGUCCACGGUAAAUCAACCGGAGAGUGUCAGAGGUAAGAUUAACUUAAUGUUCUCUUAUCCCUAAAUUCAAGUUUUCUAAAAAACAUUUCUCCACUAACUUUCCUGGAAUAUUAUAAGUUUUACCACAACUGUGGCUUUUUCUUUUUGUCUCAUCAACCAUUUGGUAUCUAUCCAAAAAAGAGCUUUCAACUGAUAUUGCUGCACUAGUUCCUCAGAAUAUUAUUCUUUUCCAACAUGCACGGGUUAAUCAUGUUCAUUUAGCUAUUUAGCACUUGAUAAUUUUGCUAUGCAGGUAAAAAGAAAAGCAAAAGAUGUGGGCGUAUGUUCAUUGAAGAGGAAGCUGAGUAAGACCAUCUUCCUAUUUUACUCUCAAAAACUAUUACGUAAAAGAAAGUUGCAUCCAAUGUGCCGGCCCAUUUUAUUUGCUGCAGCAUUUUAGGUUGUGGUCUUAAUGUUAAGAUUUAGGCAGUCAAUCUAAGAGAUAUUCUAAUUGCAAGUAUUAACCCUGUACAGGAUAUCUGAGGAUGCAGUAGUUUCAGAAGAUGAAGAAGAUGAAAAUGAGGGUGAAUAUGAGGACAGUUUCAUUGAUGAUAGUACAAAUCCUACUGAAGCAUGUACUCAUGUGGAAAAUAAUAGGAAUGACAUGAUGGCCUUUUAUAGGUAAUUGAGGACCUAUUAUCUGCAAUUUAUUUAUUUUUUAUAACUUUUUUGAAUGUUAAUCUAACAAAAUAGUGAUUGAGCAUUGAUCAUCAUCAUUUGACAUGCCAAAUUAUUUUCUGUUUAAGAGAUGGACCUUGGGGUCAUUUUCUUCCAGUAAUGACUGAAACACUACAUGUAAAUGCUCGAUGAACAUUAAUCAAAUGGAUUUUAAUUUGGAGCUAACAAAUCGACCGUUCCUUUCUAGACCUUCUUUAGUUGUUUUGAUGACUGACUACUCAGCUACUAGUUACAACAUACGAACAUGCACACGCACAUGGCUAUAACGAAAACAAGCAUGCAUGCCAACACAGACAUCAGAUCACAAUCACUUAUGUGCAUGGGCACAAAAUGUGUAGAUAUUGAGUGACAAACUUAAAUUCACUCACUGAAUCAUCUUAAUGUUAUUUUAGGCUUACUACUGCACUGCAACUUCUAAAUGUUUCUCUUUAGUCUGAAUAUGAUUUUCAGAUGCUGCUAAUUUCAUGCAGGCGUUCUUUGCUCACCCAGUCGCCCUUAGAAACUCUUCCAAGAUGCCUGGCUGCCUCAUAUGAUUCUGUUUCCUCGAGGAAGUCAGAAAGUGAAAGCUGUUCCUCAGAAAAACAUAAUUCUUCUAUCCAUACUCAGUAUGGCCUACCCUCUACGGCACAUUCCACCGAAAGGAGGGCUCUAACCUCCACUGCCAUGAAUGAGAUUGGUGAAACAAGUAACAACCAAAAAGAUAUCUCAGCUAAACUUGAGAGCAGAAAAAGAAAGUUAAGCUUUCAGCAUGCUGCCUCGAUGCCUGUUACAAACUUCAAGCCACCCUCGGAGUGCCAAUCAGGGAAUGCUGAAGUUAAUGAUAAGUUAUUUUUUGAUGAUGAUUUCUAUUUGAGUAUUGAUCUUGAUGCAGUGGAAGCACAAGCCACUGAAUUACUAAAGGUUAAGUCUGGAGUAUCUGUUGGAGAAACACAAGCAAUGAAUCCCGAUAACUCUAUUGGAAUUAAGAGAGACUUGGGCAUGAGUUGUCCUGGUUCCCCGUCUUUUGAUUUGGGAAUCUGAGUGUCAUAUUUUGAACACCCUUUUUGAUUAUUGAUGAUCAGAGGCUAGUUCCGAUGGUAGUAGUCUGAUGUCCUUGCAAGUGGCAACACAGCUUCGGCUCAUAUGCUUGCCAUAGCAUAAUUCAGUGGGCCUGUUUGAAAAGUUGAUGUGAAAAAUGAAGGAAUUGGGCUUCCGGCGAGAUAUUCAGAUUGCGUGUAAGGGAGCUUGGAAGAUUUGGAUCUCAUGCCAAAUCCUAUCUAUGCUCCGUGCCUCAACAAUGGUGGUGCUUAUUGGUGAUAUAUAAGUUACGCGAGUCGCGGUCUAGAGACCAGAGGUAGUGGUGGAAGAUUGGAUUGGCGCGCACAUCUUUUGUACAAUGGAAAGACAAAUUACAGGAAAGAAUGUGCAGUUUGUAUACAAAGCUUGUAAAGUGUGAAUAGUAACCAGCAUAAAGAAAUCAGUGUUUAAUUUAAUCUACAUGUUGGCCUACGGGCAACAGGCUAUACUCGUCCAAAAAAUAAAAGGGCGUACAGCUGUUAAUAUUUACUCUAUUGGAAGACCCAAGAUAUAUAGUGACCAUGUACGAUGUGCUUGAAGACCAAUGGAAGUAGUAAGCAGGCAUGAAUAAUUUUCUGUGGGUGAGAUGAGUAGAAUUCUAGAAUUGGUUCAUUGACUGGUCGCAUGUUGCACGUGCCAAGUACUAACAUCACAUUUUCUGCUGGGUUUAAUAUAUUACCCUCUUCUCUGGACUCUGGAGUUGAAUUAUUAUAGAAAUGGUUUUCUGAUACGGAAGCUCUCAGAUUGCAAGAAAUUUGCAGGAAGCUCUCAAAAUGUAAGAAAUUCGUUGCAUCACUUUCGUGUAAGAUUUGUAGUUUCCAUGCCAGUUAGAGGUACUCACUCCUUAAAGUUGUUGUAUAUGCGUAAUGCAAUGCAAAGAUACAAUUGCCGGUACAUUUACUUUCUGUAUAACAAUGCAUAGAUAAAGCUGACAGUUAAAGAAAGGGCCACCGCAGUAUCUAGACCAUGGAAAGAAAAUGCAAAUUGCAGUUUAAUUUACACAAGCAUUUAGAAGUGCAUCAGGAAGCAUAUCAAGCAUACGGAGCUAUCUUUACUUUCAACAAGACAAAACUUGCUUUUGGAUGAGCUAAAACAUUAACCUCACAUCAAAAGCAAAAAGAAGCGUAUCUAGAACUAGCCGAACUGCUAAGUUGGGACCGUUCAUCUCUUUCCGUGAACAACACACGAUUCGUCAAACACGAACAAAGUGGAGAGACUUUAGGGCUGCCUCAGGUAGAUGCCCAUCUUGGGGAACCCAAACACCACUGUUAUAUGGAAGUACCACUUGUUGGUUGGUAUUCUUCCUGUCGGUGCUAGUUUCUCCAAAUGAGUCUGAAUUCUUUCUCUUUACAAACUCAAAGAAUUCUGCAACUUGGCGAGCAUACCUAAAAAAGCAAUCAAAUUUAACAUUAUGUUGAGGAAAUCAUUAAUCAUCAAAACCAUCAUGCUGUUUAAAUCAUCACUUCCUAUAGUCAACCCUUCAGCAGAAUUGCCCAAAUAUGAACUAAUAUGAUUAAAAAAACACUUUCUAAGAAUUCACUAGUCUCCAAUUACAGCAAGAACAUCCAUGAACUAUUUGGGAUAAAUGAGAACUUACUGCCUCUUAGCUUCAAUAUCCUUGCUGAAAUCUAUGUUGGGUUCACAAUCCAGCACCAAUGCGGGAACCUGCUCAAAAACAGAAUAUAUAAUUACAUGAGAAGUUCGAAUAGAGAGUGAAGAGGGAGAUCUAUCAAUACUAUACCUUUUGAAUACUUGAAUGCAAAUGAUUGCCUUCCAAAUAGAAUACACGGUCUCUUAUAUCAGGAUGUAAGGAACUGUCCAUAUGCUUGGGUAGCUGACUGACUGAAAGCACACCAUGGUUUCCACUUUGAAAGGGGAAUAACCAGCUUUCGUGUUUUUCAUGCAAGCCCCUUAGAUAAUCUAAGGACACACCACCUUCUUCAGCUCUCUUGCGUAGCAUCAUUCUCUUGUGGCAAGUAUCAGGGCUAGCCCUAAGAUAUAUGAAUCCAUCAGGUAUAAGGCCUGGCAAACUAGAUACAACAGGAUCAAACCAAGAGUCAUAGAUACUAAUUUCCAUCUCAUUCAUCCAAUUAGCUUCAUGAACGGCCCGCACAAAGACCUGACAUUUGAAAAUUCAGUUUAUAGAGAAUUUAAUUACUACUCCUAAAAUGAAAGGAAAAUCUAAUUAUUACUAAAAUGAAAGGAAAAUAGACUAAGUGCUUUUUUGGCUUGGAUUCUGGGGAAGCUUCUUUACUUUGAGAAGUACCAGUUAGGUUCUUGCAAGCAAAACCUGCUGAACAUUUGUUGUAGCAGGCAACAUAGGUGGGCUUAUAGGCCCCCAAACCAGAAGCUCCAAUAUAAAGCUUCUGAUGUGGCUUCUAAGCAAGCAGCUGUUGGAGAAGUUUUUAAAUAAAAAAAAAAACAAGCCAUUAGUGCGACUUCCAACAACUCGUCAGACAGCACUUUUGCUAAAGCUCUAGCAUGGUCAGACGGAUCAUAAAAAGAGAAUGGUAAACAAAUACAACAGGCUGCAAUUUUAGAUGGAAAUUUACAAAAGCAUGACCAAUAGUAGAUUCAGUACCAUUCGAUCGCUGAAAACACUUCUUUCCAUCAGCCUCAGAGGCUUGAUUCCACCAGCUGAUUCUCUUUCCUGCAUUACUCUCGUCACGAACACAUAGUUCUGAAAGGUGUACGCAUACCUUUGUGGCUCAGCAUAAAAGGCAUCCAGUAUAUUGAAGUGUUCAGGACCGACAUCCUGCCAUUUUGCGAUAGGCUCGGGCACAAUCUCUACAAGAUCUCGUAAUUCAAAUGUCUCGUUAGCUAUUCUUUGCAAGAAAGUGGUUUUCCCUACACUAAUAUUUCCCUCAACACAGAAAGUCAGCCUUUUCUUCUGGGUAGACUUAAUUUCAGAGUGGGGAUUCUCCUCUUCUAACUCUUCAUCCACACUCUCUUUGAUAAAAGUUGUUAUACUCUCUGCAUGGUUCUUAUGGAUGAUUCCAACUGAGCUACGUAAAAACUCAACCAUCUUCUCACUAGAUUUACCAAAGAACUGCACAUAUAGGAAAGUGUGGAUAUAAACAAUCAUCAAAUUGUAUCUCGAACCUUAAGUUGAAGUUCCGAAGAUCGUAUUUCAUCAUCCUAACCUUAUGUUUAACCAGUACUCAGCAGGAUAACUUAUAUUCAACUUCAUAACAAGAACAUGCAAUAAAUGAACAAAUUACAGAGAUAUAUAGGAAGGAAAUGACCACAUACCUUGUCCCUGUAAAGCUGUUUGAGCUUAGCAACUCCACUAUAACCCUUGUCCAUGAGCUUCCGAAGAUUCCGAGGCCCGACCCCAGGAAUCGUCAAGAGCUCAACACUCUCCGCAGGCGGAGCAUUGAAACCCCCACUCCUCACCCUCCGCUCCACUCUCUCAUGCCCUUCUAGGGCUUUCCUCUCCCCUUCCCCAACCUCCUCUCCCUUCUCCUCCGCUUUUCCUCUCUCCUCCACAUCAAACCCACUAACACACUCACCCUUCUCCCGAUUCCUCAGCCCCUCGGCCGCCCUAAAACCCCGCUCGCCGCCGCCGUGCGACCAGGCGCCGAACGGCGGCGCCUGAUCUCGCCGCAAGAGCGGCGGCCACGCACAUUUCGACCGCAGGCCACCGCAGUAGCAGAUAGAGUGCGUGGUGGUGGUCCGGUUCGCGGCGGCGGCGGCGGCGGCCGCGGCACCGUGGGAGGGCGGCGGCUGAAGGUGGAGCGCGCGCAUGGAGAAGCGAGAGAGGGGAUUGAGCCGAAGAGCCCUCACCUCAAGCCACCCCGCCGUGGAGAGAACGGGGCCGGGGACCGCGGCGGCGCACCAGAGCUUCUGCAUCCCUAGAAGCGGCGGUGUUCAUGAAUGAGAGGGAGGGGAAUGGAGGUUAGGGUUUCUAAUUUGGGGGCGGGGGAGGGGGUGUGAGAGAGGAGGAGCCAAGGAGAAGAGAGAUCAGGGUUUUAGAGAGAGAGGGAGAGAGAGAGAGAGAGAGAGCGCGCGCGCGGAGCUCGAAGGUCGAGAGUUAUUAGGGUUUUAGGAAUGGAGGGAAAAGGGUGAGGCGGGUGUUCGGAGGUGGAAUGGGGAUUUUGACUAGGGCGCGCGCCAAGGGAGAAAAUUAACGUUGGGCCUAGAGAAUACUAAAUGAGUUGGCCCGGCCGAUUAAGCUUAUAGCCCUAUCCAAACUGAAAGAAGGGCUUGGCCCACUAAGUUUGGGAUCACAAUUUCGAUCCGUGAGUGGCGUAUGGGCCCCUUAUGGUCCGACCAAAACUUGGCUCAGUCCAUAUGGUUGUGUGUGAACUGCAAUUUAUAUUAUAGUGUAAAACAUAUAAAUAGUCGCUAUGCUACACAGAUAUUCCAACUUGGGUCUCAUACUUUCUAUCUAAACUUUCACAUAUAUUAUGCUGGGCAAUUAUAUGCUUUAGUACUUGGAGCCAAUUCAAAUGUUUGUGUUUGGUUUACCAGAUUGUCCGAAACUAAAAGAGUUUUAUUUCAGCCUUGCGCAGUAGUCCAUAAUGCCCCUUAUCCAAAUACUACUAAGACUUUCUUUGUGAUUAAUCGUUGCAUUAUGUCCAGUAAAAAUGUACGAUCAGUAAAAAAAAGUACGAUGAGAAAAUAGAGAAGUAUACCUCUACAUCUAUCUUUGUUUAUCAACUCUUUCUGCUAAGUAGCAUUAGAUAAACCUUAAUAUCAAACAAGCUCUAGGAUGUAGUCAGUCGCGCUUUUAAACUAUGUGAUGUAUUAAUUCUUUUCCUUUCUUCACUAACUCACAUUUAACAUUAGGGCAUAUUUGGUUCAUGAUUAAAAUAGGAAUAUCAAAUGAAGUAGGAUUGCAUCGGAAUAGAAAAUGGAAUGACGAAUCAUUCAAAGGUUCAUUAUUGGAAUGGAAAUUGGAAACAAUAUCUAGGAUUUUGUGAGGGUUUUGGUUGAGAGAGAGAAGAGUGAUGAAGAGAAAGGAAGAGGAGAUGUUUAUGAGAAAGGAUUUUGAGUGAUUUACUUUGAAAUGAGGCCAAUUCAGGAUUCAAAAUUGAAUUGGGUCAUAAAUGGAUUGGGUCAUUCCAAUUCUACAGUGGAAUAAAAAUCGAAAUUCGAUUUCUGUAAAAUAAAAACAACUGUUGAAAUUAGUAAAUUCCAUUCUAAUUUCGUAGUCUAAAAUAGAUAUAUAAAUCAAACAAACCCUUAGAGGGUUUGAGUGACUUAAGUAUUAUCCUGGUCAAUUGCAGGGUGGAGGGAGCAACAUAAAACACAACUUACAUGAAAUAAUACUCCUACCUGCCCAUAACAUCAGUGGCCCUUACUACAGGAAUUUAAGUUGUUGGUCUACACUCAACACUUUGGGCCAUGGAUUAUGGCUAACAGUGUCCUAUGUUGGGCAGCAGAGUGCAAUUAUAUGGAGCCCCAGUAGUUGGUGCACCAUAUUUCAUACUAUGAGAGCCCCUACCAUUAAAUCAACUGGAAUUUUGGUGUGGCAUGAAUAGUGGUUUGGUGGUAGAGUUCUCUAGGUGGUUUGUCAAAUUUGUACCAUUUGUUGCUUCUUGAUUAAAAAUUAAAUGAACAUGUAAUAGUUUUAUGAACCCCCUAAUAUCUUUGGAGGGUUUUUUUUUUAAAAAAAAAAAAUUCUUUCCAUAUUGGAUUAGAAUUUUCAUGCUAAGAUUCCUAAAAAUGCAUCCCUAGCAGAGCUUCUUAAAAGUGUCUGAUAUUGUAACAUAGUGAUAGUCGAAGAGUGAUAGCUAUAUAUAGUUUACAACAAAAGAAAUCACAAUCUAAUUAAGUAACUUUGAUUUAUUAGUAUGCCUUAACCAACUUGUAAUGUUCUCCUCCUUUAGGAAAAGCUUUUUCACUCAUCUAUAGCGACUUCACCUUCACCAACACCUCCCUAGGCCCAUGCUAAAAUAAGAACUAUAUAUAUAUCUAGGCUAAUAGAAGAAAUGAAGUUGGUGGAGACUAUGUGUAGGACCAACCAUGUGUAUGAACUCUAAAUUAAUCCUUGUUAAGUUUCUAUAUCUUGCUCAUUAGGUGACCUAUCAACAUUAAUAGCAUUCACAAUUUCUUAAUUGGACAUCAUGCAACUACCAUGCAUAUGUAUCACCAAGAAAUCCUCUCUAUUCUCUUUUCUCAACAGAUUAGAUUUUUUCAUUAAGCAUUUAGUUUACUUUUUAGUCGAAUUAUAUGCCUAAAAAACGUCCUUUAUGCAAAGUUAAUUAAUGAAGCUGAAUAAUUAGGUCUCUUCUAGCUAUGACAUCGAUCUACUUGUUCUUUUUUAUUCCUUAACCUCAAGUUCUAAUGUGAUUGAAUGCAUUGAUGGAUGUCAUCUUUCCCUUAUUGUUGUUUAAUUUGUUUGUACUGUGCCCCAGUCGAAUGCUAAAUGGCAAACUUCAAACAAUAAAAAGGGAAAAGAAAAAAAAAAAAGAAGCUAAAUUCUUGAUCUUUGCUGCCAAAAGAAAAUUAUAGGUGUUUAGAUGGUAAACAAUAUUCAACAAAUCACGUGUAUUUAAUUGCCUAAAAUUUAAGUUUUUUUUAAAAAGUGUAAAUAUAACCAAAUAAAAUGAAGCCUUAAUAAUGAGCAACUGUUUUUUUUUUAUGGAAUUAUAUUUAUCCAGCUCUUCUUAUAGAACAUUACUUAAUCCACUCGCAAUGCCAUAUGAUGAGUACGUGGCAAGAGAUCAUACAUAUAAAACUAGGUAUCUAAGCUGUAGAACACUUCAGGUAUUAAGCAAAAACAAAAAAUCUUACUGUUCAGAUUACCAACAUAUGAGAACAACUCCAUCAACUAAUUAAUUCCUCGCUUAAUUAUCUGCAUAUAAGACAAAUACAAAGGCUUAAUUACCAAACUAAAAAGAAAAGGAAAAAAGAGAAAUAAAAUGUACAAUGCAAGAGUCCUGGAGUUGUAAGUGAGGAAGUCAAAAUAUGUAAAGCACUGGAAAAGCAUGUUUGGGGCAUUAAAUUGAGCUUUAGAUUUUUGAGUGCAAUUCAUAAGUGCAUGUUACCAAUUAGAGAAGUUAGGUAUAAAAAAGUUGAAGCCAAAAGAGGGAUUAAUUCCAUAAAAAUGUAACAUCUAGUGACCAUCCUUAUAGAAAGACAAAAGUAGGGUCAGAAAAUAUAUAGAGAAAUGAGGCUAUGAGUGUUUGUUUCUGAUAGGCAUUAAGUAGUCUCUAAGCAUAAUAUACUCUAAAGGGAAUAGGAUCUUUUCUUCGUAGAAUGCUAGGUAAUGAAAGCCAAUAAAAAUUAGUAGUUUAAUAAUUCUCAAGGCAAAAAACAACCAUCUUCCUUUGUUAUCAUUCUAUUGCUGGUUAGUCAUGAGUCCAAACAUUCCUUGUUUCACAUAUCUCUUGUCGAUGUAUGCUAUUAUGACUUAAGACGCAGUGUGUUUUCACAAGGCGCUCUUUGACGAAGAGUUGUGUUAUAAGGAGAGAACAACUUCCUCCUAAGUAGGAUCCGAUACCGUGGUUCGUAGCCACAUGAAGAAUCUCCAAGAUCUCAAAGUUCAUAUGAAGUUCCAAAUAUUUCUGUUUGUCAAGCACUCUACGCACCAAAAUUAGAACAAAAAAAAAAAAGUUGGACAGCCGAAUAAGCACUUAUUAUUAAUAAUAUAUUCUUAAAGAGGAAAACCUUCCACUUAAUUAUUAUUAUUAAUAUAUAAUUCUUAAGAGGAAAACCUUCCUUCUAUGUAUGAGAAUCAAAGUAAAAGUUUUUACUGCAGAUGUCCCAUAUAUACUGUCCCACUCAAUAAUGCUAUUAUUUAACUUCUUUGAGAAUGAACUAAGUGAUGGUUGGUCACCUACGACAAAAUUUCCAGGCCUGCAUAAUUAAAGAAAACAAUACUUACUAUUCUUAUCUUCUAGAAUCUUUAGUUAAGGAAGGAAAUUAAGCACAUGCAAACCUUUAACUGGUUAGGAAACGACCCACCCAGUUAAAAACAACUCCAAGAGUAGUGGUGUAAAAAUUGUACCCAUUAAUGGAUUAAACACAACCACAUGAACAACUCUCUUGUUGUACUGCACCACCCAAAUGCUUUUAUUGCUAUUAAGACAAGGUUUGUUGAGCACUAAGUGGUGUGGGUAGGUAUAGCUCUAUGCAUGCCAUCUUAAUUUGUUUGCAUACCUAGAGAGAGAUUUAAUGUUGCAUGCACCAAGUCUUGAAAACUCAAAGUUAGACGUCUUAAAAUAUAAAUACAAGCUAUUAAAUAUAACCUAUAAUUUAUCUCUUGAUCAUUAAUUUAUUGACGCAAAAUAAUUUAGUGCUCGUAACAUAAAAGUCCGUAAUACAUUGUAAUUUUUAAGAAAUACCAAAUUUAAAUGCAUGCGGUGAAUCACAUCUGUAAUUUACAUUAGAUUUUAAGAGCUUUAUCCCUAAAUUUUGGAAAUGAAUAAUGCUUCACUGCUCCCAAUCAUAAAGGAAAGUAAAAUUUAGAAGACGAGAACAAUAUCAUCGAAAAAACUUACACAAUUCACACAAAUAUAGUAAUCAUGAGUAGACCUCAUAUACUGCUUAAUUAGAAUAACCACUGACAACUCCAGUUCAUAUUCUACUGUCAUCUACUAUAAAAAAAUAUAUAUAUAACAUUAUUCUCUUGAGAUCAACCUCAGUGUAUGGACCGCGGUGCAUGUAAUAAUUUCUCACAAAUUGGGGAGAGAGAGAGAGAGAGAGAAUCUAAAGAGGCAUUUAAGUGCUCUUCCAAAAUAGAACGCACGACAGCAGUAAAUGCAGGAAUUGACCCCAAUGAAAAAGGCCCUUUGCCCCAUUUUUUCCAACUAAGUAGUAAUGAACUUAAAUUCGAGCCAUUCCUUUUGGUCCACAUAAAGUGACCCCCGAACCCCUCCUUCCCCCCCAUGGCUCUUUGUGAUCCUACUCCCAACAAGUGGAUGUGGGUGGAGACCUUUCUCCUCCUUGGUAGCUAGCGUGGUCACGAGCCACUUGUUUGACUUAGUCAACAAGGCAACAUGAUGUAUACAUUUGGAAAUUGCAUUGAUAGAUUGGUAGGAGUACUCUGUGUAGAUGGGCAUUUAUUGAACCAAGUACAAAUAUAUACCUACCUAAUAUUUUGGAGUUGGACUUUGGAGUCCCUCUCUCUCUCUCUCUCUCUCUCUCUCUCUCUCUCUCAGUUAUGCAUGCACCCACCUAGUGUAUCCAUAAGGUCUCAAAGUUCAAAUCUCAUUUACUAUUGGAUAGAUUCUGUGAUACUUAGGGACAUUUCAUUAGAUAUAAUUAUAAAUAUAAUAUAGUUAGAUAUGCAUUCAAUUAGAAAUGCAACUUGCAACUACAUGUAUCCCAUUUAGUUAGAUAUAUAUAGUAGAAAUCAUUGUAACUAUAAUAAUUUAUUUGAUUGCACGCAGUUGAGAAAUAAUUUUUAAAAGUUUAUCAUUUUAUAUACAUAAUAGUGAGAUUACUUCCAAUGUAAUAUAUAUAUAUAUAUAUAUAUAGAGAGAGAGAGAGAGAGAGAGAGAGAGAGAGCAGGGCUACUGUGCUAUUAGGAGCACGGCAGUCCUUGUACUCCUAAGUUUUUAACCAUUCAUCAAUUUUGAUGGAUGGUUAGGGUAAGAGAGAGAAGAGAAAUUGGAGAGAAAUUAAGAUUCUCAAUUUCUCAACUUUUUAAAUAUCUUCUCAAUUUCUCUUCUCUCUCAUCCUAACCAUCCAUCAAAAUUGAUGGAUGGUUAGAAACUUAGGAGCACGAGGGCUACUGUGGCUCCUGUGCUAUUAAUAGCACAGUAGCCCUACUCUCUCUCUCUCUCUCUCUCUCUCUCUCUCUAUAUAUAUAUAUAUAUUGUUUAAAAAAUAAUUAAGAAGGUAAACAUAUUUUUUGUUUAAAGUUACUGUUUCCAACCGCUGCAGUUGGGUUUUCCCUUAUAAUUUCUACUGUAGCAGUUGAAGUUAAAUAUAUCAAAUUAAACAGUAAAUUUGUAUUUAUAUAUAGUUACAACUAUAACUACGUAUAAUCAAACGGCCCCUUAAAGUAUUUAUAUGCUGUUGAUCAUUCUGGAACUUUGGCACCUAAGAUUAGUUUUAGAUAGUGGUAAUAACAGUCUAUAUAUCCAAGUAGAUUUUAAUUUUAAAAUAUUAAUUAUAAAUAUAUGGUACGGUGCAGAAAAUUUAUAGAUGCUCAGAGUGUGUGCAAUAAUUUGAAAUUUCUCCUCUCUUUCUCUCUCUCGCUCUCUCUCUCUCUCAUAACGUAACCUGCUGAUACCUGAUUGUUCUUUUCUUAUCCUCCACUCACGCCUUGCCUUUUUAAGGGGUUUGGUUUGUAUGGACAGUAUCGGAACAGGGAAUGGUAGAUGAAGAGUGCAUUAAUUGAGCUCAAUAGUACCUCGGCUGGUGAUAUACCCCCACACAAAUUUAUUCUAUUAAAAAAUAUAAAAAUAUAUAAAACUUAUUUGAAAUAUAAACUAUUUUAAAUUAAUUUUUUAAUCUUUUUAAUUUUAAUUUUACUAUUCAUUUCUUUAAUUUAUUUGAUUUGAGUUAGUUGAUGUCACUUUCACUCCAAGAUUUAAAUUUAUCAUUUAUUUUUACAGAUUUAAUUAAUAUAUUUAAUAAAAUUUAUGUAACUAUAAAUUUGUUAAAGUGAAUAAUUAAUUUAAAUAUCGAAGUCAAUGUACUGUUGAUUAACUCAAAGCAAAUAGAUUGAAAGAUUCGAUAGUAAAAAUCAAAACUUUGUUAUAUUUCUGUUAUUUCUGAAUAAAGACAUAGGUCUAAGUUCCGUAUCUUUUCACGUAUAAAAAAAAGGGCUAUUUGUACAAUCUAUUAUAAGCUUACACUCCAUUCAAAAAUUUUACAAAAAUUUUGAAAAUAGAAUUAGUAUUAAAAAAAAUAAUGAGAUAAAUGAAUAAAUCAAGAUCUCUAACAUGUUAGAGUGUAAAAUUUAUACCUCAUUUAUAUAUAAGUUUACGGAGAGUAUUUUCGUAUUCUACUGCUUGCAGAUGGAAAAUAUCAAAAAACAUUUCACUUAAUUACUAAUAUUUAACUAGUAAAUUUUAAUUUACGUGACCACCAAUCAAUUGGUAUAUAUCUCCCCCUCCAGCAACAAGUCUCAGAUCAAAGUCAAGCUACGUACAAGUCUAAGAGUGUGCAUACGUUGGAGCCUACAUGCUUGUAUUUUUUCAUAUCAAACUAUACAUUUUUGGAUAGUUUAGUUCACUUAAUCAAAACCUUUGGUUUCAUUAAUUUCAAAAAAAUAAGUUAUCUAUUAAAUAAAUUAUUCAUCUCCUUUGUUUAGAUUAUCGGACAUUUAAUUAGUUUGCCUUUUAAUUAGAAACAAAACCUAAAUAUGGAAAAGAAAAAAAAUAUCUGGAAAAAUAAAAAGAGGACACCCCCCCAACCAAUAACUAAGAGGUAUCUGUUUCUCUCACUACCUAUGGUGACCCAAAAGGCCUAAUAGUUGGUUUUGGGUAUUUUUAAUCUAAUAAUUAAAAGCUUUAAAAAAAAAACAUAACAACAACAACAACAACAACUUAGGUAUGGUCCAUAAACCCUCUAGAAGUUGGUUAUACCUACCCGUUCGACACUAAUAUUGCCAAUAUUGACAUAAAUGAAUUAAAGUCCGCAAAGAAACAAAAAUUUAACUGUAAUGAAAAUAUCAUGUAUAUAUAAAGAGAGAGAGUUCAGCUAUAAUAUUAUUGAUAACACCAAACAGUUAGUACUAUCAAUUUUUCCACCGUUAGAUUUACUGUUUUAACUACUUCUAUUUAUUAGAUCGUAAUAUUCAACCAACCACAAAUUCAAUACUAGGGGACCACUAUCAUCCUAAGUGCACAUCGCUUCAUCCAAGAGCCAAAAACUUAAUAGCACUAAUGAUUUGGUGCUAUUAAUUAAUAAUAUUCGAGCCUAGUUCUCUCUCUCUCUAUAUAUAUAUAUAUAUGGAACUAGACUGGAAUACUAUCAAUAGCACCAAGCUAUUGGUGCUAUUAAUUUUUUAGUCCGUGAAUUGAGAAAUGGGCGGCUAGGAUGAUGUGGGCCCCUUAGAGUUAAGUGGGUGGUUGGUUGAAUAGUAUAAUCUAACGGGUAAAAAUAAUCAUAGGGUUAAAUAUAACGGUAGAAAACUCGAUAGCACCAAAUCUUUGGUGCUAUCGAUAGUACCCUAGCCGGAUUGACAUAAACACAAGAGCUAUUUAACUUAGUUAUAGUGACUAACAUAUACAUAUGAUUGAUUCUAAAAUCUAUUAUCUAUUAUCUAUUAAUUUACAUGAAUUCUCAAUGUUUGUUGCCACAUGACAAGUUUUCCUUCACCCUUAUUAGCAUGUGACUCUUCUUCUUCCUCUCACUAAACUUUCAAUGUACAUUUUAACGGUUCCACAAACAAAGCUUUCAAUUAAUAUAUUUAAAUUGUCCCACUAUCAUGUAUCAUUCUAUCGUUUCUAUCUACAAUUAUUCAUUAGGACCAUUUUCAUUCCCUCCACUAUACUUUCAAUUAAUGCAAACGAUUUCACUACCAAACUUUCAAUUAAUAUGCUUAAAUGAUCUCACUACUAUCUUACAAUCCUAAUCUCUUUAUUUCCAAUUAUUCAUUAUGGUCAUUUUCCUUCCCUUCACCCGACUUUUAAUUUUUUAUUGUCAAUCUAUUUAUCAAUUCUCCAUCUCUCAUCUUUUACUAUACACUAUCGUCUCCUUCUCUAGCUCCCUCCCUGUCUCUCACUAAUGCGCGCUCGCUUUUCCUUUCCGCCAUAACGUUUGGAGGAUAUAUCAAGUGAGAUACACAAGAAAAUGUUUAAUAUUUUUUUUAUUAUUAAUUACUAUUAUAAUUUCUAUCCGCUGCAAAGCGCGGGCCCUUCAGUAGUGAGAAAUGAAUUAAUAUGCUUCCUAGUUCCUCCAUCUUAUGUCAAAUAAUUUGAGACGUUGUUAAUUACGAAGCCAUUAAUUUGCUUCUGUUUUCACUUCAUGUUGACGCGAGGAGAAAAACCAUUUACUAAUUGUGUUGUUGUCCAUGAAGUUUACAUAUACUUACCUUUGUAACAAUUAGUCCACAAAAGCUGAAAGUUUUGUUAUUCUUUUUUUUUUUAGUUGACCAUGUUUAGGAGCAAUUGUUAUCAAGUUUUAAUGACGAUUAGAAGCAUAUCAUUUUCCUACGACUAAUAAUUUCCUCCCUACCAUCCUCUUCAUUUUUUUUUCUUCUUGUUUUUUUUCCAUAACCUAACUAUUCGCGUGCGCAAUCUGAAAUGCAUGUAUAUUUUCUUUUUCUUAAAAAAAAUUGACCACGGCAUAUAAAUAAUUGAGCUAUCCUUGUUGUAAAUUAUUCAUGGCGCAACUCUAGUUUGGCCCCAAAUUAUAAAUAAUUGAGUUAUGUCCAUGCUUAAGGCAGUGAAAGAAACCAAAAAAAAAUAAUAAUAAAAAAAUAUAAAAAAUAAAAAAAAAAUUGUAAGUUCAAAUUUUGUUCACCAACUCCUAUUAUUUUAGUGAUAUUUUAAAUUCCACAAUCCAGCAGCCGCACUAAUUAUCGCAGCAUGUUUCCACUUUUCUGCUACAUGAUAUGCACAAUUUCAGCAGGAUAAUUUUCAACGCAUAUUUAAUAGGGAGGCAAUAAUUUUUUCCUAAACCAUCAAAAUAAGUGGACUAAGUCCUACAACCACGAAACCACUCUACAUUUUCUACUCUGGGGAAUGGGACUCCCAUUUCUAUCCUCGCCCAACUCUUUUUCAUAUCUUUUCGCUCAAGAUCCACAUAGUAUUAGAGUCAAAGAUCACAUAUUCAAUUAUUGCAUAUUAUAAAUUUGUGCAGAUGCUGUCGUAAGUCUGAUUAGGUCGAGUCAUAAUCAAAAUUUGUGUGUGCGGUAUCUAUAUAUUUUAAGUGAAUUAAUUACAGAUUUCUACAAGUAGUAUCAGAGUUAGAGGUCAUGAGUUCAAUUCCGCAUAUAUACUACGAAUUUGUGCAGUGCCAAGAGGAGGGAAUUGUUGGCUCAGAGGGACCGACAUCCUAUCCUGUGGCAGGAGGUCGGAUUGGGCCGAGUUACAGUUUAAAUGGUGGGAGGUCGGAUUGUGCUGAGUCAUAUUCAAAGUAGCAUGAAGUCAGUUGGAGCAAGUCACAAUUGAGACUACAUUAAGUGAAUUUGUUGUAUGUUUUUGAUAAUUUGAGCUUUUGAAAUUAAUAAUUAACGCCAACGAUCGGACAUCAUAUACUUACUUUUAUUUAUUAUCCUUAAAAAUAGAUAAAAAUGUAUAGAAUUUUUAUGAACUACAAAUCAUUUUGAUGCAACUACCUCAUCUUUUAAAAUUUUAGCAUUUUAAUUUUUUAAAUUUAUUUAAUCUAAAUCAUUUGAAGACUCAUUCAAUACAAAGUUUAAGUAAUUAAUUACAUUUUUUAAUAAAUAUAUAGUUAUAUAAAUUUUAUAAAAUAUACUAAUUGAAUCUGCAAAAUAAAUAACACAUUUAAAAUUUUAAUUGAACGUGCAAAGAUAAAUGAUACAUUUAAAAAUUUUAAAUUAAAAGAAUAUUUAAUAGUUCAAAUCAAAUAAAUUAAUAAGUUAGGCAGAAAAUUAAAUUUUUAAAAAUUAGAUAGUUAGAACAAAAUGGUUGAAAACUAAUGUUAAAUAAUAUGAAAUAACUGUUAUUUUCUAAAAAUUUAAGCCGACAGAGAACGGUAUUUAAAUAUUUUUUAUAUUUAUCAUUCCUCCUCAUGUCUAGGUUCGAAAUUUUUUUUAGACUCAUCGCAUGGAUUUGAAUUAAAUAGAAGAAAAUUAAUAAUAUUAGGAGUCUGACGUGAUUCAAAAUCAGGCCCUUCUACUCUGAAAUCAUAUUAAAUAAUACGAAAAAAUCGUUAUUCUCUAAAAAUUUAAACUGAAAAUAAUAUUUAAAUAUAAAAAUAUCUAACCACUAAAGCAAGUUCUAUGCAAUUUUACCUUGCAAAUAACGAUUUAAUUUGUACUUCAUCCGUACAACCAAUAAGUCCGCCUAUUCGUCUCAAUUACUUUUUCUACAGUUUUUUUUUUGUUUUUGUUUUUUUGUCCUGAAUUUGAUUUCGAUUUGUACGAAGGUCUUAAGGCUAGUUCAGAACAACUUCCAAUCAAUUGAUGGAUAAAUCUGACGAGAGUUGGUUCGGUAAUUUCUGCAUUCUCCCGAUGUAACGCCUCCAAUAGUCCCACAUCGGAUGGGAUACUAAUUUCGAUCAGUUUAUAUGAGACAUACACGCUAGUAAUAGUAACCUGGCUUAAGUAUUUUGGGCCGAUGGUUUGGGCCCAAUGAGUUAUUGUUGCUAGCGGGUCGGGUCGUUGCACCCGAUUAUACCCUGGCGUCCUGUUUUCAACUCCUUACGAACACAAUCUAGAAGAUUUAUUAGUCCACGACCUUAUAUGUGAGAAUAAAUACAGCUUAAAAGGACCAACUUAUUCUUAACUACUAGAAUCAAUUAAGCAUAUGGAUAAUGUAUACAAUAUAUGUGUAUCUUACUAUUAGUACGUAUCACUUCUUUUGUGAAGUGAAUUUUUGUAAAACAACUAGGAUUAAAUUAAAGAAACCAUUGAAUAAGGACCAAGUUUUCUUUAUUUUCCUUGAUGAGAAAUUUAAACAAAGGACCAACUUGUUGGGCAAAAAGAGAGCGGGGCGAGUGAGAGGGGAAUGAGGAGUGAAUAAGCUAGGGUUGUUCACCAAAUUGGAUUAGAUUCUCUCCUCCUUUCUCUUUGCCCCACACUCUCCCACCCACAAACACAUGCUGAGAGGGCUUUCUAGAAUCCUUAAAAGGUGGAGUUAGUGUGUGGUGUUAAAAAAAUGUCGGUGGGUGGAGAUAGAUUACUUUCAUGGAAUACCAUACCAUGGGUGCUCGAAAAGGUACCCCUAACUAUAAAUCAGCGAGCUCAGCAAUUCACAUGUGAUAACUACUUAUCUCAUAUGAUUUGCUCGGAUGAAUCUAUAUUGCUAAUCUCUUAUCUCAUUUGAUAUAUGAAUCUCAACAUGCUUCGUAGCGCAAUUCACUUGAUAUAUAUUGGAACCCGCCACCAACUUAUCCUACAGAUUAAAAUAA